UUUAUUUUUGUUUCUUGCUUUUUGCUUCUGUUUAGUAAUAAAUAAUCUGUUUAGUCUCUGGUUAGAUGUGUUUUUAUGUUUUUAAUUAGUGUUUGUGCCAAGUAGAACCGUUGGGAAGACAUGGGUAAAGUUUAUAUGAUCAUGCUGUAAAAAACAGAAACUUUAGCGCUCACGAGAAUAGCUGUCAUUUUUUAUAAGAGAGUGAUUUUUAGUUGAUUCUUUUUGCACGUGAUCACUAGGAAAAUUCCUCACUUCCACCAAUUUAUUUCAGAAUUUUUGGAGUUCCAGAAGUAUACGUUUGAUACAGAUUACUACAGACUGUUCUGUUUUUGACAGAUUCUGUUUUCUAUGUGUUGUUUGCUUAUUUUGAUGAAUCUAUGGGUAGUAUCGGAGGGUAUGAACCAUAGAGAAGUUGGAAUACAGUAGAUAUAACACCAAUAUAAAUAAAGAAUGAGUUCAUUACAGUACCUUAAAGUGGUGGUUUGCUUUCUUAUACUAACGGAGCUUACGAGUUUUCUGUUAAGUUUUGUGUUGUGAAGUUUUCAAGUUUUGGGUAAAGAUUCAAUGGACUAUGGAAUAAGGAGUGGCACGAGCCUAAGCUUGGGGAUGCCCAAGGCACCCCAAGGUAAUAUUCAAGGAUAACUAAGAGCCUAAGCUUGGGGAUGCCCCGGAUGACAUCCCCUCUUUCUUCUUCGUUCAUCGGUAACUUUACUUGGAGCUAUAUUUUUAUUCACUACAUGAUAUGUGUUUUGCUUGGAGCGUCAUUUCCUUUUAUUUUGUUUUGCUUGUUGUUUGAAUAAAAUAUCAAGAUCUGAAAUUAUUAAAUGGGAGAGUCUUCACAUAGUUACAUAAUUAUUCAACUACUCAUUGAUCUUCACUUAUAUCUUUUGGAGUAGUUUGUCAUUUACUCACGUGCUUCACUUAUAUCCUAUGAGUAAAUGGUUGAAUGAAUUGAAUAUCAUAAAUCUGAAUUUAUAUAUGUUUCAUAUGCUUAUACCAUGGGGAUUAAUGACUACACAUAUAAGAAGUAGAGGUGGUAAAUUUAUUGAAGGUUAGCAAAUAUAGCAUUGGUCACUUGAACAAUUCAUGAAAGAAUAUUGAAGGAAGAGAGGUUUCACAUAUAAAUAUACUAUCUUGGACAUCUUUUAUGAUUGUGAUCCCCAUUAAUUAUUUUACUUGAGCAAAUUAGUUGAAGUUGAACAAGGAAGACAACUUAAUGAGUUAUGGUUGGGUAUAUUUGUAUAGAAGUUAUAUUGUUAUAGAUCCUCCAACAUGUGGUGCUUGUUUUUUUAGAAUCCUUUGCUAGCCAAAAUAUCUGUACUAAGCGGGAAUACUGCUUGUGCAUACAAAUUCCUUGAACCAAGUUUCUUCCAUGAGUGUCCACCAUAUCUACCUAUAUGCGGUAUUUACCUGCCGUUCCAAGUAAAUUUGCAUGUGCCAAACUCUAAACCUUCAAAUAAUAAUCUGUUUUGUAUGCCUGAAUCGCUCAUGUAGCGACUAGGGGCUGUCAGUAUCUUCCAUGCUAGGUGGGUUAUUCUCACGAUGAGUGGACUCCGCUCAUCAUUCACGAGAAAAUGGCUGGUAACUGGGAUGACCAGUCCUAUGAUCAAAAGAUCAAAAACAAAAUUGCAAAUAAUUUAAACAAAAAUCCCCCAGGAAUGUUGAUAGUUGGACGACACCCGUUGUUUCGGACAAGCCAUGGAGUGUGAAUGUUGGUGGAGGGGGAGUAAAAAAAAACUUUACCUUUCUGCGUGGGAACCGCCUAUAAUGUAUGUAGCAUGGAAGAUAUUGGGAACUCUUGGUUGUUAUGUUGACAAUGAAAGCAUACCUCUCAAAAUUAUUUUCAUCUCUGUUUUUGCUUCGAGCUCUGGCCCCUCUGCAAAUCCCUGCUUCCCUCUGCGAAGGGCCUAUCUUUUACUUUUAUGCAAGAGUCAGUAGUAUUCCUUCUCUCCAACCUACUCUUUAGUUGGCAAGCAUCAUGUGGUGGAGAAAGAUCUAAGCAUAUAUGGCCAUUCAAAUAUAUUUGAUCAUGAAUUAUUAUUGUUGACAAUUAUCUAUAUGAUAAAUAAGUUGGGAGGCAAAACAUUAAGCCCCUAUCUUUCUCUGUGUUCGAUGGAUGCUAUUUGUUAUAAAAAUAUGCUUUGAGUGGUAGCAAUCAUGGAAGGCUAUAUGAUAGUUGAGUAUGUGAAGUUUGCUGAAUCAAAGCUCUGACAUAGACUCUUCCUGAAAAUAAGAUGAAUUGCAAUUGUUUGAUGACCGAGAACUUAGUUUGCUAGAAAGUUUAUGAUCUAUGCUUUAACAUGUGAAUAGUUUUCUACUUGAUCAUGAAAAGCUUUAUGAUAUGAGCCACUAUUAUGAUAUAUAAUGAUGCUAGAAAAGGUGAUUGAAAUUAUCAUUGAUCAAACUUGUGCACCUGCUAGCAUUCACACUUCAUAAAUUAUUUCUUUUAUCAUUUACCUAUUCGAGGACGAGCAGGAAUUAAGCUUGGGGAUGCUGAUACGUCUCCAACGUAUCUAUAAUUUAUGAAGUAUUCAUGCUAUAACAUUAUCCAUCUUGGAUGUUUAAUGGGCUUUAUUAUACACUUUUAUAUUAUUUUUGGGACUAACCUAUUAACCCAGAUCCCAGUGGCAGUUUCUGUUUUUCUCCUUGUUUCAGUGUUUCACAGAAACGGAAUAUCAAAUGGAGUCCAAACGGAAUGAAACCUUCGGGAGAGUUAUUUUUGGAACGGAAGCAAUCCAGGAGACUUGGAGUGCAUGUAAGGGAAGCAACGAGGAAGGCACGAGGUAGGGGGGCACGCCCACCCCCCGGGCGCGCCCUCCACCCUCGUGGGCCCCAUGUGGCUCCCCUGACCGACUUCUUUCGCCUAUAUAUCUCCAUAUACCCUAAAACCAUCGGGGAACAGAAUAGAUCGGGAGUUCCGCCGCCGCAAGCCUCUGUAGCCACCAAAAACCAAUCGGGACCCUGUUCCGGCACCCUGCCGGAGGGGGGAUCCCUCACCGGUGGCCAUCUUCAUCAUCCCGGCGCUCUCCAUGACAAGGAGGGAGUAGUUCACCCUCGGGGCUGAGGGUAUGUACCAGUAGCUAUGUGUUUGAUCUCUCUCUCUCUCUCUCGUGUUCUUGAUUCGACACGAUCUUGAUGUAUCGCGAGCUUUGCUAUUAUAGUUGUAUCUUAUGAUGUUUCUCCCCCUCUACUCUCUUGUAAUGGAUUGAGUUUUCCCUUUGAAGUUAUCUUAUCGGAUUGAGUCUUUAAGGAUUUGAGAACACUUGAUGUAUGUCUUGUCGUGCGUAUCUGUGGUGACAAUGGGAUAUCACGUGAUUCACUUGAUGUAUGUUUUGGUGAUCAACUUGCGGGUUCUGCCCAUGAACCUAUGCAUAGGGGUUGGCACACGUUUUCGUCUUGACUCUCCGGUAGAAACUUUGGGGCACUCUUUGAAGUACUUUGUGUUGGUUUGAAUAGAUGAAUCUGAGAUUGUAUGAUGCAUAUCGUAUAAUCAUGCCCACGGAUACUUGAGGUGACAUUGGAGUAUCUAGGUGACAUUAGGGUUUUGGUUGAUUUGUGCCUUAAGGUGUUAUUCUAGUAGGAACUCUUGAAUAGAUCGAUUCGAAAGAAUAACUUUGAGGUGGUUUCGUACCCUACCAUAAUCUCUUCGUUUGUUCUCCGCUAUUAGUGACUUUGGAGUGACUCUUUGUUGCAUGUUGAGGGAUAGUUAUAUGAUCCAAUUAUGUUAUUAUUGUUGAGAGAACUUGCACUAGUGAAAGUAUGAACCUUAGGCCUUGUUUCCUAGCAUUGCAAUACCGUUUACGCUCACUUUUAUCAUUAGUUACCUUGCUGUUUUUAUAAUUUCAGAUUACAAAAACCUUUAUCUACUAUCCAUAUUGCACUUGUAUCAUCAUCUCUUCGCCGAACUAGUGCACCUAUACAAUUUACCAUUGUAUUGGGUGUGUUGGGGACACAAGAGACUCUUUGUUAUUUGGUUGCAGGGUUGCUUGAGAGAGACCAUCUUCAUCCUACGCCUCCCACGGAUUGAUAAACCUUAGGUCAUCCACUUGAGGGAAAUUUGCUACUGUCCUACAAACCUCUACACUUGGAGGCCCAACAAUGUCUACAAGAAGAAGGUUGUGUAGUAGACAUCAAAUAACGACAUUUGUAAUCAUCUAAAUGACGGAGUUUAAAAUGAAGGAUUUGGGUAAACCAAAAUACCGCUCGUUACUACAACUUGAGCACCUUCAUUCAUACAUUAUGGUAUACUAUGUUGUCUAUAUCCAAAAUAUAUUGGAGAAAUUCAUUGUGGAAAAAUCUUAUCCAUCCAUAACUCUGAUGGUAGUUCAUUCUCUAGACGUAGAGAAAGAUCUAUUUAGACCAAGAGAUGAUGGAAAUGAGAUAUUGGGACUCAACGUUCCAUAAUGCCAUUGGAUAGACCAAACACAAUUGGUUGGUACUCAAGAAUAUCUUUUGAUAUCUCCAAGGCAUCAAACAUCUUGUCCUGAUUUUUCAGUUUCACAUAAAUGUGAACACCAAUAUCAUUGGAUACAUCGAUCAGAUCCCCACUAUGUCAGAUCGUAGACAAGCUUAGUGUUCCUACUAGGUGUGGUAGCCCUCUCAUGAAGAGUCUUCAAAACAGACCUCAUGGAUACAUCCACCAACCAUUAUCUCAAAGAUAAUGUUGCUUGUGUUGCCCGGAUGCAAACAUGUUACUAAUAAGCAUUAUCUUUAUAUUGCCUAUCUUGCAAGUCAAAUCAUGCAACUGAUUUGUUCACCAAGUUUCUACCAACUUUUACAUUCCAGAAACAUGUUCAUGGAAUUGGUAUGUGACGGCUUUGGAAUUUGCAAGAAUCAGGGGGAGUAUCUUCCUAAAUUGUUCAUGUUCAAUGCAUCAUAUUAUACUCUUUUUCCCUUCAUGAGUUUACUAUACAGAUUCUCAUAAAGGUUUUUAAUGAGGUAAUAUCAACAUGAGAUCAUAUGUCAUACUUUCUGUUUUCCCCACCGUUUUUUUGGGGAAAGUAUAUACAACAUAUUUAUUGUCCUCUAAAUUCUAUGAAUAUAUAUUUCAUAUUGAGUUAACAGAGGCAAUAAUCAUUAUGUGUUGUAUCAUUUUCUCCUUAUUUUCCCACUGGGUUUGAAGGAGUUUUAACAGCACAUACUACACUACUCCUCAUAUUUUUUCCACAGGGUUUUUGAAGGAGACUUAAUCAAGAUAAUGGAUUCUUAUGUCAAGCGGUGAUUAGGGGGAGUGUUGAAAAUAAUAACCCAGUGGUUAUUAAGGGAAAAUCCCCGCUUCCCAUAUCGGUAGUUGCCUCCCGAGGAGGCGCCUCAGUGAACCAUCGCGUCCCAUGGACGCGUCCGUUCCCCUUGUAUAUAAGUGUACAUCCAUGAUUAAUAAAGGACACUGGAAUCAUUUGUUGUCGCUCUCGAUUCUCUCUCGAUUACUCUUCGAACACCAAAAAGGCCACUGUCCACGACGGUUCCCGUGGAGACGCCUCUAGCGAACCAUCGCGUCCAUUGUGAUUGUAUAUAUAUCAUGUCAAUCAUCAACAGAGACCACUGAUUCGAUCAUUUGUUCAAUACUCUUGUUCCUUUACAAUUGAUUCUUAACACGUUAUCAGCACGUUGCUCUCCGUUGAGAGAAAUAGGCCAUGCCUGAUACAGCAACUCCGGCGGUCCUCGACCUCGCCCCAUCGAUGCCCGCGCUACCGAACUUGCGUCCUACCCGCUGGCUCACGGCAUGGUGUGUUGCCCGGCCUAGGCGGUCGACCAGCGGCAACGCCCUCUGGCACACCCCUGCGUGGCACGGCUCCCUUGCCUGCCCAUGGCGGCAGCACCCUUCAUUACGGCACCUGCCGGCAGCCUCGGCUGUAACGGCGUGGCGACGCCCACAACGGUUUUCGCCUCCGGCCCCGGCGCGUCAAGCCAUCGUCAGCAUCAACGAGGCUGCGCAGAGGUGCGGACGCGCUACUGAAGGCCCGGCCAUCGAGACGCGAUGACUGGCGUGCGCCACGGCGCGGCUACGCGGUGGCGUCAACCCGCCCAUCCGACGGUCGGCCCCUACGCCUCCACCGGUGUCUUCGUCUCCGUCGGCAACUGCCACGACCACUCAAGGCGCCCGGGGCCUCACAGCCGGCAUCGCCCGGCAUGCCUCGAGCCACAUCUACGGCGGUGGCUCGUCCUGUCCAUGCGCGUCAGCAAAGCAAAGGCAAGGCUGGCGGCGCAACCACCUGGAGCGGUGGCAGCCCGCGAGGCGGCGGCAAUGGCGCAGUCUUCCCGGCCGUCGUAGCGGGUCCCCUUCCCCGGAGAGGCCCCUACCAUGCGCGGCGCUCGCGCUCGCGGUACACAACGGUGUGGCGAGCUCCUCUAGCGUUGCGGCAGUCGAUGCCCGACGUUGCCGUGCCAUCCCAGACGGCCAUGCACAGGCGCUCACUGCCGCCUCGUGGCCCUCGCCGUUCCGCUGGUGAGCCCGUUGUUGAGCAGCCGCUCCGCGCAGCAGCAGCGCUCGGGCUCGCGGAUGGCGCCUACAACGGCGUGACCUUGGCACCCACCUCCGCGGUGGCUCCUCUUCCAAGGACGAGCGCGGCGGGAGAUCUUCUUGCCGCCGGUGAUGCGGCCGGCCGGCCGUCUCCGGCUGUCUCACUGUGGAUUUGGGAUAGAAAGUGGCUGGGAGAAUUUUCCUCGGACGGCGAUAACUACCACACGUGUGGGUGUUAAGAGGUCUGCCCACACGUUUUGUGUGGUGUCUAAGAAGACCAGCCCACACGCCUAUGUGUGGGCAAAACAACUAGCGCCCACCCGCCUCUUUUUUUCCUUGCGGUCCCUCUCACACGCCUACGUGUGGGCAAAAUGCAUAACGCCCACAUAACCUCUCUCAGCCACCCACCUCACGGUCCCGCACGCCCCGCGUGACAGUCACCAUGCGUCACUGCAGUUGCCAUGGUCCGGACCCUCUUCAAUGUCCGUUUAACUGCAGUUGCCAUGUCGCUGAACUACAGUUGCCAUGUCGGACAACUACGGUUGCCAUGGUUGCUCAACUGGAGUUGCCAUCUCAGGUCAAGUGCCAGAUGCCAUUUUGGACAACUACUGCUGUUGCCAUGUAUGGUCUGAUUUACUAUAGUUGCCAUGAUUUGAAAACUUUAGAGGCUGCCAUCUACUAACACUAAGCAGUUGCCAUGUAUGGUCUGGUUUACUACAGUUGCCAUGAUUUGAAAACCUUAGGAGUUGCCACCUACUAGCACUAGGCAGUUGUUGUGUAGCGCUACAAAAAGACAUGGCAAAACAACAUGUUCGGAUAAAAGAGAGAGUUGUCAUAUGUUUACAAGCACACUAGGUCAGUUGCCGUGUACCCUGCAAAACACAUGGCAACUGACAUGCUCGGGUAAAAAAAAAGAGAGUUGCCAUAUUUUUACAAGCACACUAGGGCAGUUGCCAUGUACACUGCAAAACACAUGGCAACUGGCAGCUUGGGUGUGGAAGAGGAGACGGGCAUGUGGGCGAGAUGACAAAUGCGCACACACCAGCCCCUGUGCGUGAGUGAAAACUGGCGUGUGGGCGAACUGAUAAACGCCCACACACUGGCCCCUCCGUGUGGUGAAACGGAUGUGUGGGCGACCGGGUGAAUGCCCACACACCAGUCCAGUCCUACAUGGCACCACAAACAUGCCAAGAUUCGUGCACCCAUAAACGGACGCGGAUCCACGCGUGUGGCGAGAUGCAAAUGCCCACACAUGUGGGCGUUAGUGUUUCCAUUUUUCUGGUCGCUCUGCCUUAUCUGCUCAGCUAGACCAGGCUGGGCUGCCUUGCGUGGCUAAUUUGCAUGCCGCUGGAAAUUUAGGCGACCAGCAACCAUUGCUAUCUUUGCUUAUUUGCCCCUUUAAUUUAGCAUAUUAGCAGAUAAGCCACCUAGCAGUAGUUCUAGCAGUGAUUUCAUUCCUGUUUUUUAGACACUGCUAAUUACAGUACUAAAAUUUCAGUACUGUAAAUAUGUUGAGUACUAUGUGUUCCAUAUAAUAUGUUGAUGUAAUAUAUCUCCAUGUUUCUUACAUGUUGAGAAUAAUUACAUCUAAUAUUUGCAAUUGAGAUAUUUCUUUUAUCUCUUGCAAAGAUAAAUUCAGUACCUCUUGAGUAUUGAUUUGCGAUUGAGAAUUUUCUUCUCUCGCAAAGCAAUCUCAUAGUGAUUGAGAUUAAUUUUCUCUCGCAAAAUAUUAAUUCACCCUGUUGAAUUAUCUUGCAACUUGAUACAAGAUCACCUAAUUUAAUUUGAGGUCCAUACAAUUCAAGUUUUUCACUUGAACAUCAAGUUUGCAACAUCAUUACUAUUUAUUAUAAUAGUGGCGUAUUUCUGUUGAGUAUGAUGUAUUCCAGAAUGUAUGUAUCUCCAUGUUCGCUACAUGUCGAGAUCAAUAUGUCUAUUUGCAAUUAAGAUUUUUUUUCUUGCAAAUAAGAAUGCAAAAUUCAAAGUGAUUUCUUCAAAUUGAUGUAUUGGGAUCACAAAGUAGUCAUAUAGAUCUACUGCCUUCGCACAUUAUCAAUGACUACUAUUAAAGCCCAUAUUUUGUCAUUUUGACAUUAAAAUUGCUUUACAAAGUGCCAUCCCACACAUUUUACUAAGUCAUGGCAUAAGGCAUUACGAAUGAGUAUCUACUGAUUUCAUCAGAUUAUACUCUCUAGUGCUGUGUGGAGAUUAUCUUCAAGGUGUCAUUUAGCAAUUGAUUUUGCUAGUUCAUUACAACAACAACAACCAUAAUGGUUUUUAAUUUAUUGGUUGUAAACUAAUUAUCUCUGGUUUACCCAUAGAGGUGAAAUAUGGCCAUAGAGUUUGAGGCAUUCGCCCUUAAUGUACUAACAGAACAAAGUUAACGUGUCUAGGUCGACGGUCAAUGACUGACUUCACAAAUCCGUCGGCCUUAAUCGGAAAUGAUACACAAAAGGGAACCGCUAGGAAUCAGACUACUGAUUCUUAGCUUCCCAUCAGACUAGUGUUCCACCGUAUGAUUGGAUUCAUCUGGAACGUGCAAUGGGCCAGAAAAAGGUGCCUAUUUUGUUUCCAUGCAACGACCUAUGAAUGGCAAUUUAUUUGGUAAUAAACCAUUCUCGUAAAUAUCUUUAGGCCUAACUUCUAGCGUCGUGCAAUUUGCUUCCAUCCAGGAUGUUUGUUUCCAAUUGGGUGAAUUUAUUCCCAGCGCAAAUUAAUCAUGCUUCCUACGAAGAAAAUUUGCUUCCAUACCAAGAAGUUUGUUUCCAAUUUGGUGAAUUUAUUCCCAGCGCAAAUUAAUCAUGCUUCCUACGAAGAAUAUUUGUUACCAUGUCAUAACGAGAUUGCUUCCAGCUCAAGAUUAUUUUGAUUAGUAUUUUUGUUUUCCAACAUGGAAAAACGUGCUUUGAACGGUCAAGCCGUGUUUUCGUUUAACAUGGAAUUAUGCUUCCAAUGUUUUCCCCUUCUAUCAACAAUGCUUGAAAGAGAGAAUAUAAUUUGCUUCCAAAAAAAAUAUUUUUCUUCGAAAGAAAUAUAUUUUGCUUCCAAACAAAUGGAGAUAAUUGUUGAAGCAGGAAUAUAUGUUGCUUCCAAUUAAUGCAUCUUAUGUCUAUUGUGAGCCAUCAGAACAUAGUUGCUAAUUGUUGAAGUAUGUACAAAAUAGUAUCGAAGCAUUGCCAUGGGCAUGUAUGUACUUGGAAACAUAUUGUACAUACAUAGGAUACAUGUCGCAUAUGAUAUCGAAGCACGUAUGUAGUCUAAACCAAAUGAAGCAUAUAUAUAUAUAUAUAUAUAUAUAUAUAUAUAUAUAUAUAUAUAUAUAUACAUUUUUUAGAUAAACUAGUAAACUCAAUACAUAGAACCCUGAAGCACUGCAUCCAUGACAACAACAAACAACAUUCAAAAGAUUAGCCCAGCCUUUCUCUCGAGCGGGAUCCUUCCAAGCAGGUUUAAGAGGCCAUCUUUUAAGUGAGAGCCGCAUAACGACUGUUCAAUGUCCACCAUGCUUUGGGCUGCUUCAUUAUCCCAGGUCCACUGAAAAAUAAUCAGAAAUAUAAUCUGGGAAUUGAGCGAAUAAUCAGAAAUAUAAACAUUAUCGAGAAAGCACGGCUCAACAUUCAUUUUCCAAAGAUGUACAGAAGCAAAUCACCUACAACAAAUUCAAAGUUGUACUGCAAAUUAAAUAAUUAAGUAGCAGCAAACAAGGUAGCUUGGAUCAGCAACCAUAGAAGCAAAUUAAGAGUAACACAGGAAGCUCCAAUUACAAGAUGCAUGACAAUAAGCUAUUUAUAGGUGACAUAGAACGUGUGUUAUGUACAGGAGCUCCAGUGGAAGCACAAAACAACAAAAAUUUAAGCAAACUAAUAUUGUGGGUAACAAAGGAUGGAAAUUAUGUGUGGCGAACAUACAAAUGGAUCAAAAUUUUAUAACCUAUGGAAGCGAAAUUAAUAGAGUUCAGAAGCAUAUGUAUUGCAAUUUAGAUGCGACACAACAAAGAAACAUGAACAUGGUACUUUGGGAAUCAAACUAGUCUUAGAUGGAAACAUGGAAAUUUGAAAUUGUACAGAAAACUGGUAUUAUUGUGAUAUGCGUACCUACUUAACCAAAAUCCAUAGAUUAUAUGGUGAUCAAAUACACAUUGGGUACUAAACCAAGAUAUGAACAGAAGUAACCCAGAUCAACUCAAAUGCUUCAGAUUAAAUUUGUAUCAACAUAAGAGAACUGAAAACAUUAAGUCGGGUGAGUAUGUACUAGGGGCAAUUCGUCAAUGUGCCUAUUACCUGCGAGUGAAGAGCACAUGGCCGCCUUACCUCACCGACGGCGGUGCUGUACAUGGAUCAUGGUUGAUGGAGAAGGUGAUAUGUCGUUUAGGAUCCUGGAGGUGGAGUGGUGGAGAAUGUUAGGGAGUCGUGGUCUCAAGCAGAGCAUGGAACAUCGAUCUGUAGCAAUUUGGGAGGAAACAAACCAAACUGGGGGAGGAAGGUGCGGGAUUAUGGGAAGAUAAUGUGCGUGCUUAAUUUAUGCGGAUAAAUGGGUGGUUGGUAUGGGAUAUGUUGGAGCCUCUCAGCCAUGGGAUUGGAAAUAAAUCAACGGACAAGCACUAGACUGAUGAUUUGUUAGUAUCCAGACGUCUGGAUCUAAGAGUUUCCCUACACAAAACAGGCAUCAUGAUGUGGGGGCAACCGAACAUCAACAAAGGCUAAUAAGGUCCAUAACUCCAUAGACACAUUAAAGUAUUCAAAUGUUUUAAAGCAUCGUCCAUGAUAUGAUAACAGAUGGUGGUAGAGUCUGUGAACAUGUCAGCACAUCAGCGGCAUGCUAGAGCAUACACUUUGUUGACAUUCCAGGUCAUCAACCAUGAUAUUCCACCAGCUCGCCAGGUGCACGAGAUGAAAAAAUGGCUUCAUGUGGUGAUGUUUGCCAUGGUUGAGGACAGCCGUCAAAGUCAUUCAUCAACAGUCACCUUGGAGCGAAGGGGUUGUGCAAGCUGCACUGGCCUUGGAGGCAUCAAAGGGGGCACCAUCGUCAGCUUGCACAUUUCACUUGAUGGCACUGAGGAAUACAUAAGUUAUAUUAAUAUAUAAAAACUAAAAUCAUGUUAUUUAUUUAAUGCACGGAGUGGUUUCAUCAAGAGAAGAACACAGAACAAAUGGAAAUGAUUCCACAUGCUGGAAAAAUUGUUGUAAACAUUUUCACUUCAAUCUUUUUGUUCUGCGCCGAUCAUCCAACAGCAAAUUUAUCGUAAUAUUGCAUAUGAAUUCUGAAACUCAAGCACAACAAAACUUACUGUCACAUCAUCAACUAGUUAAUUUAAGUAAACAAGCUAGGCUCCCAAAAGUCACCUGUUAUUAAUACAAAAUACAAGGGGGAAGAAACUUUCACCACAAACAGUGAAUACUCAAAAGUUCCAUAUGUCACACAAAUCGAGUCACUCACCCAAGGAAACCAAGAUUCCUAUCAUCACCUCCCAUAUAAUUAUCUUCAUGAGUAGAAUUUUAAAAUCAUCAGCUAGUAAGCCUACUCACUGACCACAACUAGGUUUGCACUCAACUUUACUGCACUGGCUAAUUUGCAGUUGCAAGGUUGUAUUCUCCAAUUCAAGAUAAAAUUUUCCCUUUUGGGAGAAAGGCCGACAUAAACUUUGAUUAGUUCUGCUUAUAAGUUGAAUGAAACUUUGCAAGUCCUAAAAGAUGUUUCUUAGCUCACGCAACGGUUUCACUUACUUAUUUGGCACAUUAAUGCCCAGUUCUUUUGGCAGCUUCUGAAAUGAGCUGGCCCCUCACCAGCUUAUUUUAGAAGCCGCCCCCAAUAUUCAUUGAAGCUGCUAAUCUGAUUAAUCCUUAACUCAAAAUGAAUAUGGGGAACGGUUUCUAAAUAAGCUAGGAAGGGGGCGCCUUAUGCCAUAAGCCGCUAAAGGAACUGAGCCUCAGUACAGGAUGCAGUUUGCUACAAAUAGUAUCCCUAUUGAUAAUGUUGCAAGUUGUCAACAGGAGAGCAACUUGUGGUCUCUGAAUUACAAAUAAUGAUUAAUUAAUUAUCCAGUUCAGUUCCGUUAAAUAUAAAACCUCACAAAGAGAUGCAAGAACAUAAAUUCAACGGAUAUUUGCUUCCUAACUACAGUUGUCAUAUACUGCAAGAAAGGCAACAUGGUGGCCCAAGUCGCACAUUAUUCUGGAAUCAUGAUAUCAAAUGUUAAUGUUCAAAAUUUCUAACAUUUUAGAGUUAAAUAUCGCGAGUCAAGAACUACGAUAAAAGAACAGCACCAUAUUAUAAGCAUGGGAUCCAUAUAAGCAUUGAUAAUGUCUUUACCUAAUUGAGUUGAAGUUGAAGACGACGUGUGCUGCCCAGUUUGUGUCAGACUGGGUAGCUGCUGAUAGUCGUCUUGGUGUUCGCCAAAACCAUAUUCAUUAGAAGUCCUAAUGGGAACACCCCCCAUUCCACUUGUAUUGCUGGGGUUGCUGUACAAGGGUUCACCUAAAUCUUAUUUAACAGAUGGCAAAAUGGACGCGUUUAUAGUUGUAGCAAGAUGAUUACAGUGUGCCUACCACAUUGUUUUGGAACAGUAUCCCCCAAUGGAAGUUGAUCAUUAGGCACACCAUUCUGUGCAGACUCUGCUGCAACUUCCUCAUUCUGAGCAGACUCUGCUGCAACUUGCUCAUCAUAUAGCCUUAAGCAAAUUAAGAGGCAAAAUGUCAGGUGUCAUUUGGUAAAAUAAGUGAAGAACUGGGGGAAACAUACAAUUAGUUUGGCAAAUGUUUUUCAGUAUGUAUGAAUGUUAAGAAAAUAGAGAACAAUGCAAAACAAAAAACAUGCCUUUGAAUUGGAGCGGUAUUCAGAUAUUUGGAGAAUUCACAGGAAAUGAAGGUCGGAUUGUAAUAAUCGACUCUCGAGGCAUGGUAUGGCUUGAUGACUUCCAGCGACUUCUUCAAAAGAUCUACACCAAGCAUCCAUGUGACUUGGUCGACACCCACCUUAGACAUGAGGACAAUAGCACGACCAUAAAUGGUGAAGGUCGGGAAGCCUGGUGUAGUCUUCAGGUUUCUCACUCUGCAUUUCUCAGUUCUACUAUCCCACAGGUGAAGUAGCUGCAGAGCAAGUUGUGGUUCGGCUGAUAUGUCAUCAACAUGGAAAUUGUACCCUUUUCUCCAAUGGUUCCAAGAAAUGCUCCUAAAGCCUGUUCGGAUCUUCCAGCCAUCAGGUGCACACUUAAUUUUAUCCUCCAUAAUGUCCUCUUCAUGAUACCUAAGGAGGUCAUUAUCACUGAUGGUAUCUAGGAAAUCAAGAUAGGCCGUCGUCUUGAAACUCCUCAUGUUGAUAAACUUAGACCAUUUGAAACAAUGUUCGAUCUCGAUGAAGUCGAUGAAACCAUUGGGGAAGCCGGUGACGUCCCGCACUGACCGCGCGUCAUAAUCGGCCAAUGCUUGGCUUUCCGGGGGCUCGUCAUAAUCAGCCUUGGGCAGCGGCCUGGGCAGCGGGAUGAAGCGGAGAACAGGAUCCUUCUGAAGCACAUCACAGACAACAAUGCCGCGCCAGAGGUCGACCCAUCCCACUGUUCCUUCUCCAAGAGAGAUCACCUUGUGAGUUAGCUUUGGCAGGAUACCGGGAUGCUCCUUCAGCUGCACAUGUUGGGUGCUCCACUCGUCUGUCACCGACGAGAAGAUAUGCAGGUUGUAGUGCCCAAGGUCCCGACCCAGGGAAAGAUCGGCGACCAAAAAACUGCCAUCCUCGCGGGAUACGAUGGCUGCAUGCCAUGAGUGCCUGUAGGUUGGAGGAGGACACGGGACCGAUCUGAUGGUGGGCUUGCUGGAGGCAGCCCUGUAGACGAAGUAGUCGUAGGUGCUCGAUGUGCCAGUUCUGAAGGGAAAGCAUAGGAGCGCGAGGUCAUUGGCGGAGGAAAUGACGCGGGGCUCCGUGAUGCAACACUCUAGUACGUUGAUUCCGGGAAAGUGGACGCAGAAGUAGGAGACGGCAGGCGGCCGGGCGAGACAAAAGGUGACCUCGAAGUUGUGGCCCGUGCUCGUCGUGGCCUUCACGGUGGUGGCGUUGAUGGGGUGGGCGAAGUAGGCUCUGCUGUCGAGGAGGACCCAGGAGGGGUAGCGGGAUGGGUUGGCGCUGGCGGGAUCGACUGCAGGGGGGUGGAAGGAGGCGGGAUCGACGGCGGGGGAGUCGACGGAGGCGGGAUCGACGGCGGGGGAGUCGACGGAGGCGGGAUCGACGUCGGGGAGGUCGACGGAGGGGGGAUCGACGGAGGGGGCCGUGAAGGAUUCCUCCAUGGCCGCGGAUCCAACAAGGAUUUGGGAACUAGGGUUACCUCUCAGCAAAGGGGGCGGCGGCGAGUGUUUGGGAACCAGGGUUACCUCUCAAUAGAGAGGGGACGGCAAGCGAUUUUUCACUUUCGUAGGGACAGCGGCGUGCGGGCAGAGUCUUCCGUCUUGCGUCUUCCCGGGCCUGGGCCUGGGCCGUGGCAGCCAGACUAUCCACGUUCACGUUAUUUUUUUUCUUCAACUUUUUUUUACGGGGACGAUCUUCCACUUCUAGUACCACUAGUAAGCUGACGUCUUGACUAACAUUACAAACAUAUGUGAGAAUUAACAACCCCUCGAAGAAAAUGUGAGAAUUAACAUACAAAGAAAGAUAUUUUGAUUGAACUAAUAAUACAAGUACAUUACUGUUGAUUUUCCUCAAAAACUUGGACACUUACAGUUUUUCGUCAAAACCAAAAAAUGGGCUGAAAAUGUUAUUUGACGGUAUGUUUAUUUAUGUUUGGCAAAAAUGUAUGAAACUUCCCUGGUAUGAUAAGUAUACUAGUGUUGAUUUUAUAAUAUAUAUACACAGGUUGACACCCGGCGGCUCACGGAGUCCUGGCCAGCUCAUACACAACAUGUCCGGCUCGGUGACUAGCUACGCUUACCUUACAAAACAAGUCAUACAUAUAUAGCGGUUCAUCCCCUUGAGCCUCAAGUCGCCUCUGGGUCUUGGGCCGUCAACGGGCCUGCAUGAUCCGCCAUCUUCAUUGAUAAGUUGCCAGUGGUAUGGCCCGGCCCCUCCUGGGCAGUUCAUACCCAAUAGUUAUAUCCCCAACAUUAGGCCCCAGGUUGAUUUGAACUUGUUCAUAUCAAUCUUCAAUACCUGACUUGUCAAAAUCUUGCAUCGCCUUUGUUUGAUAAACCUUGCUAUAAACCGCCAUGACGUCAGCUCGCAGAACUUUCUUAAACCAUCAUGACGUCAUUCUACAUUAAUUUCACACGAGGCUUAGAACAUCUUUAACCGAUCCUUAUCUUAAUGAGCAUCCCGAAAACCGAGGCGUCCAUAUAGCCAUAUGAUGAUUUUAGCCUCCUCGAUUCCCGCGCAUGCCUUGUAUCCACCCCCUUAUAAAUAGGGGCAGUGGGUCUUUAUCAUUUUCCCCCUCGUUUCCUCCUUCGUCUUCCUCCUUCAUACGGCCGCACCAGUGCUCGAGCUCUGCCGCCACGACCUCCAACCGCCACAUCAACGCAGGCCGCCGUAUCAACCUGAUCGGACCAGAGAACUCCGGCGAGCCACUGCUACUCCUCAUCACCCGUAAUCGCACCUCCCCCCUUUAUCUCAGAUCUGUAUUAGGGUUCAGGCCGUUCGUCGGUGUUCUUGCCGUUCUUGCGUUGUUUCCGUCAACUCCGAUAGCUUUCAAUCUGGAUAGGCCAUAGGUCUUGUGCGGAAGUGGUUUGAACAUCAUUUCCAUCAUUAAAACAACAUCUCUCCAUAGAAGAUCUCAUCAGAGUAUCCAAACUUUUCCACUGCCGCCACCUUAGGCUAGAAUUUUACUGCUUUUCUGAACUGUGGUAGAUCCAAAACUAUUGCUCCAGUUUGCGAAGUCUGUUUAUCCAAUCACUUAGCAAAAUCUGAAGUACCAUAACUGUCACGGUGACUUAUACUGUAAACCGUGAUCCGCCAUACGCCUCAUAACUUUCAUGACCCAACACUGCUUCUCUGGUUUAACCAUGCUUUCCUCCUGAUAACUUGAUUUUGCAAAAUAUAUCUUGACUUUUAGGCUCUGUCCGGUUUAACAACAGAAUCCUUAAUCCGGUAGGUACCAUUAGUCCCCAUUUAAGCUGCCAAUACUUCAAUGUUCAUCCCCCGGCUUAAUCUAUUAACUGUUCAUAGCAUUUUAUCUUUGAAUCAAUGGUCCGGUUUAAUAGCAUGACCUUAAGCCGGUAAUGUUUCCUUCGUUUAGGACUUUGCUCUUCAAGAUGGUCAAGACUGUCAUUGCCUGCAACUGGGUCGUUUCCCGGGUUACAGAGGAAGACCUAAAAGAAUAUGUCCAGACUGGCGUCUUAGCCAAGAAAGAAGUCAUCCAUUGGAGGGUCCCAGGCAAUGAGACUCGUCCUGAGCCCAAGGACGGCGAAGUCAUUGUUUUUACUGAUCAUGUAAACCUGAGCUUCAGCCCUCCUGGUUCAAAAUUCUUCCGCGAUGUGCUGCAUUUCUUCAAACUUCAUCCACAAGAUAUCGGCCCAAACACCGUCUCAAACAUCUCCAACUUUCAAGUGUUCUGCGAGGUGUACCUUCAACAGGAGCCCACCGUAGAACUAUUCAGGGAGUUCUACUACUCGAACCGGCAGAAUGAAUUCAUCAACGGGCCUAGCCUCGAACUAGGCGGCAUAUCCAUACAACACCGGAAAGAGGCCACCUUCCUAGCUGCUACUCUUCCCAGUCGCCCCAAAGACUGGAACCAGACUUGGUUUUGUUGCCAAGAUACUUCGCCAGAAGGAGAAAAUCCCUUACCGGGUUACCGUGCCAGCCGGCUUAGCAGCAGACAUCAUCUUUCGGAUCAUAUCAGUACAACAGAACGGAAGAAAUAUGUGUCGGUUUAUGCAAAGAUCCGGGCCUUUAUGGCCAACGGCCUAACCGAAAUUGAUCUAGUUCAACGCUGGGUCACCUGGAGAGUCUUGCCUCUAAGCCGCCGACCCGGUUUAAUGUGUGAGUACACCGGCGAGCUAACAGAUCCUUAGCACCAUUGUCAGGUCGAAAUAACUGAGGAAGACAUCAAUAACAUGACCAAGACUCUAUUGAAUGAGAGCUUGGAAGAUUGCAGUCAAUUCGAACUGAGUCCUUUCUGUACCCUGAAUAAGCCGCCAACUGUAAGUUUUGAAUCAAGCUCUUACUUAACUCAUAUCUUGAUUUAUAUUGUUUGCUCAUACUCACUGAAACGUUUACAAGCCGAUUCACCCUUUUGGACCAAGAAGCUUCAGGAGAAACCAAAGAAAACCGAGGCGAAGAGCAAGGCUAAGAAGCCUGCUAAGAAGAAAACCAACACCGUCGAGUUAUUUAACUUGGACGACAAAGAUGAUGAUGAUGAGUCGGAGGUAGAACUUGAUUCCCUUGGUUUGCUUUUUGUACAUCUUAUUGACAAUGACCAUUAUCAGGAUGAUGCGGAAGCCAGCCGUGCAGAUGAUGACGAGGUAACUAUCCUUUCCUCCGGCUCAGAACCUCUGCCAACACAGAAAACUCGACAAGCAAGCCGGAAAGUAAGAUUUUCUCACCCUUUAGCUUACUUGGAUCCCAACUUUCUUUUGAAGAAGCAGCAACAUGAAGCUCGCCGCACAACUCGGCAUAGCGGCGGUGGAAUCUUGUCCUCCGGCUUACCAAACACCCCAGCACCUCGCAAACGUCGACUGGAGGUUUCAAAAAUUUCUGACUUAGAUUAUCCCAAGGCAGGUCUUUUUCGUCAACCUCUUAAUCCAUCUGAUUCAAAUUAUCAGGGAACAUCUCAUUCCUCCUCCGGCGACUCAAUGGGAACUCAAAUCCCAGCCUUCAAGACUGUGCCUGGGUAGGAAUAUAUUUAACCAUUCAAAACUUCAUGCCUGAUUGAUAUGCUAACAUCUUUGUGUUUUAUUUUCCAGUGGUAUGGCCAAGCCCAGCAAAAAGGAAAAACUGAACAAGCCGGCUGAUGACUCUAACCCUUCUGAGCCGGAAAAACAACAACCAGAAGCCUCUCAUCCAAUUGCUGAGGCCACCAUUAAUGACCCGCCACCAGAAGACCAUGAAGUCUCCAUAGACCAUAUGGAUGUUGAGCCGGCCAUUUCUAAGCCGCCAAGCCCAGUUAAGCUCGCUGAAGAGAAGACUGACGACGUCGUCGUCACCGGGUUUGGUUACACAGCACCGGGUAACCCCACUGUCUUAUCCAAGCACAGCGCCAAGGAAGAAAUUUCUGCUGAUGAUAAAGGCAAGUGGAAGGUAGACUUAGAGAGCUACGCCCAGUUCAGUACCCAAGAGAUCCACUCUGGUUAUUUGAACCGUCUAUACACCAGCCGUGAUUUUGAAGCCGGCUUAGUCAAUUUGAUGAAGGAACGCUAUGAGGUAAUCCAAUCACUAUUUCUCUUCAUAAUUAUAUGUCUAUCUGCCGCCAAGUCUAUAGGAUAUGAUAGGAUUGACUAUGCUGUAGACUUUCCAAUUGCCAUAAAGAAUUGAACAUCAUCACUAGUAGCCCCCAAGGGCCGGCUUAAACCAUCAAAUUAAGCCGGGACUUUAAGUAGCAGUAAUGAACGGCGCAUCCGUAACCCCCAAGGGUCGAUUUAACUAACAUAGUUAAACCGGGACUUACCAACAUUGAUAAAUCAACACUUCAAUAUGUAACCUUGGUAAACCGGAUCAUAUCAUUGCACCCGAUUCAUCGGAUAAAUUCAUCUUUGAAAAGAGCAAUAGGCAUUAGCCCCCAAGUGCCAAGGAAAAUAGUUGUAUUGUGCUUGGGACUUCGAAAAGUUAUGAAGAGCAAUAGACAUUAGCCCCCAAGUGCCAAGGAAAAUACUUGAAUUAUGCUUGGGACUUCAAAAAUAAUCAUGAUCAUAAUACCUUCCAUGCCUUCUUAUGUCACAGGCUGAACUGAUUGAGAAGGAUUUGCAACUCAAUGAUCUAAAGGCCAACAUUAAAACUCAGCAAUCUGAGACAUCCAAGACCAAGUCGGAACUGAAGACUGCUUUAGAAACAUUGAACAGCUUAAGCAAAACUUCAAUAGUGAUAAAAACGGCUGGGAGAUCGAAAAGGCGGCUCUAUUGAAGAGAGCAGAGGAUGCUGAAGCCGCACUUAAACCGGUGACUGACGAGUUGUCCGGCUUAAGGCAGCAGAUCAAUAACAUGUUGUCAGCCAUCUUUGGUAAGUAGGAAACAUGACUCCUUUGCAUCUCAAUAAACAUAUUAUAAACAUCUGUCGGCUUAUCAAUAAAUUUAUUGAUACAGGUUCUCAGAGCGCCAAGUUGGGCUUAGAUAUGCGCAUCAGGCUUAAAGCUGUGUACACUCUUGUAGAACAGUUAUAUACUGGCACCCAACGUACCAUUGCUGCUGCUAUGCACAAGAAAUCUCCACCCACUCUCAUUAAAGAUACAUUGGAGAGGUUAUCAGUGCUGCCCCAAAGGAUUGAUGAGUUAAAGCGAGCAUCUGCCAGAGCCGGCGUGUUGACUGCUUUAAGCCGGGCAAAGGCGUGGCAAGCAGAUCUGGAUCCAGAAGAUUUGGCCAAUGGUUGCACAAGUGUCAAAGAGGACGGAUCUGCCUUCAGUGUUGAUGACUUUGCAGAAAUAGCAAGAGCAGUGCGCCCAUUAGCAAGUAAGUUGGCUGAAGAAACCAAUCUAUCCACAUACCAGGCGGCUUAUGAUGCUGAGAACAAGAAAGUGAAGGCGCCGGUUCAUCAGGAGACGGAUCUCAUCCCGCCGAUUCGUAAGCAUACCUUCGCUCCUGAUACGUCUCCAUCGUAUUUACUUUUCCAAACACUUUUUCCCUUGUUUUGGACUCUAACUUGUAUGAUUUGAAUGGAACUAACCCGAACUGACGCUGUUUUCAGCAGAAUUGCCAUGGUGUUAUUUUUGUGCAGAAAUAACAGUUCUCGGAAUGACCUGAAACUUCACGGAGAAUAUUUUUGGAAUUUAUAAAAAAUACUGGUGAAAGAAUCAAGACCAGGGGGCCCACACCUUGUCCACGAGGGUGGGGGCGCGCCCCCUGCCUUGUGGGCCCCCUGGUGCUCCACCGACCUCAACUCCAACUCUAUAUAUUCACGUUCGGGGAGAAAAAAAUCAGAGAGAAGGAUUCAUCACGUUUUACGAUACGGAGCCGCCGCCAAGCCCUAAUCUCUCUUAGGAGGGCUGAUCUGGAGUCCGUUUGGGGCUUCGGAGAGGGGAAUCCAUCGCCGUCGUCAUCAUCAACCUUCCUCCAUCACCAAUUUCAUGAUGCUCACCGCCGUGCGUGAGUAAUUCCAUCGUAGCACUAGUAGAAAAAUAGCCUAAUGUGAAGCUCAUUAAUCCCGGUUUGUAAUUGAACCGGCACUAAUGUGACCAUUAGUGCCGGUUCAAACGGCUAGGCGGGCGGCGCUCAUUAGUACCGGUUCGUGGCGAACCUUUAGUACCGGUUCGUGCCACGAACCGGUACUAAAGAGCUAGUGGCCUUUAGUACGGGUUGGUGGCUCCAACCGGUACUAAAGACCCCCCUCUUUAGUACGGGUUUGUGCCACCAACCGGUACUAAAGGGGUGCGCUGCCACCCGCAGUGCACAAUGUUUAGUCCCACCUCGCUAGUUGAGAGGAGCUCGCACCGGUUUAUAAGCCCCGCCGCGGCUACCGUGUCGAGCUCCUCUCUAAGCAGGCCUUUGUGGGCCUAUUGCAAGUCUUCUGCCCUGUGGGGCCUACUGGGCCGUACGGGCCUGCAUCCUGGCCCAACUAGAGGUUGGGUUUCUAGGCGUAUGCAGGCCGUGCCGGCCCAAUAUGUGGGCUGUUUUUGCUUUAUUUCAAAAAAAAAUCAAAACAACAAAUCCUUUAGUCCCAGUUGGUGUUACCAACCGGGACUAAAGGUCCCCUAGACCACUGCGCUCCUCGUGCCACGUGGUGGCCCUUUAGUGACGGUUCGUGUUGAACCGGUACUAAAGGGUUGGGGGGCUUUAGUCUCCACACUUUAAUGCCGGUUGCAGAACCGGCACUAAAGGGCCUUACGAACCGGUGCUAAAGCCCGGUUUUGCACUAGUGUAGGCUUGCUGGACGGUGAUGAGUUGGAUGAGAUUUAUCAUGUAAUCGAGUUAGUUUUGUUAGGGUUUGAUCCCUAGUAUCCAUUAUGUUCUGAGAUUGAUGUUGCUAUGACUUUGCUAUGCUUAAUGCUUGUCACUAGGGCCUGAGUGCCAUGAAUUCAGAUCUGAACCUAUUAUGUUUUCAUGAAUAUAUGUGAGUUCUUGAUCUUAUCUUGCAAGUCAUUAGUCACCUACUAUGUGUUAUGAUCCGACAACCCCGAAGUGACAAUAAUCGGGACCACUCUGGGUGAUGACCGUAGUUUGAGGAGUUCAUGUAUUCACUAUGUGUUAAUGCUUUGGUCAGGUACUCUAUUAAAAGGAGGCCUUAAUAUCCCUUAGUUUCCAAUAGGACCCCGCUGCCACGGGAGGGUAGGAUAGAAGAUGUCAUGCAAGUUCUUUUCCAUAAGCACAUAUGACUAUAUUCGGAAUACAUGCCUACAUUACAUUGAUGAACAUGAGCUAGUUAUGUGUCACCCUAUGUUAUAACUAUUGCAUGAGGAAUCGCAUCCGACAUAAUUAUCCAUCACUGAUCCAAUGCCUACGAGCUUUUCACAUAUUGCUCUUUGCUUAGUUACUUUGCCAUUGCUACUGUUACGAUUACUACAAAACUGCUACUGUUACUUUUGCCACUGUUACCGUUACUUCCAUACUACUUUGCUACUAAAUACUUUGCUGUAGAUAUUAACUUAUCCAGGUGUGGUUGAAUUGACAACUCAACUGAUAAUACUUGAGAAUAUUCUUUGCCUCCCCUUGUGUCGAAAUAAUAAAUUUGGGUUGAAUACUCUGUUGGGUUUCGUAGUAAUUUCAAAAAAUUUCCUACGCUCACACAGGAUCAUGGUGAUGUAUAGCAACGAGAGGGAGAGUGUGUCCACGUACCCUCGUAGACCGAAAGCGAAAGCGUUAUGACAACGCGGUCGAUGUAGUCGUACUUGACGAUCCGACCGAUCAACAGUUGAUGUAGUUGUACGUCUUCACGAUCCGACCGAUCAAGCACCGAACGUACGGCACCUCCGAGUUCAGCACACGUUCAGCUCGAUGACGUCCCUCGAACUCCGAUCCAGCCGAGUGUUGAGGGAGAGUUUUGUCAGCACAACGACGUGGUGACGAAGUUGACGUUCUACCGACGCAGGGCUUCGCCUAAGCACCGUUACAGUAUUAUCGAGGUGUAAUUUGGUGUAGGGGGGCGCCGCACACGGCUAAGAGAUCAAAUCAAUCGUAUGUGUGGCGCCCCCUGCCUCUGUAUAUAAAGGAGCCAAGGGGGAGGUGGCCGGCCCAAGGGGGAGGCGCCAGGAGGAGUCCUACUCCCACCGGGAGUAGGACUCCCCCCUCUCCUAGUUGGAUUAGGAUUGGAGGGGGGGGGGAAGAGAGAAGGAAGGGGUCGGCCCCCUUUUCCCCUAAACCAAUUCGGUUUGGGCUAGGGGGGGCGCACCCUUGCUCCCCUCUCUUCCCACUAAGGCCCACUAAGGCCCAACAGCCUCCCGGGGGGUUCCGGUAACCUCCCGGUACUCCGGUAAAAUCCCGAUUUCACCCGGAACACUUCCGAUAUCCAAACAUAGGCUUCCAAUAUAUCAAUCUUUAUGUCUCGACCAUUUCGAGACUCCUCGUCAUGUCCGUGAUCACAUCCGGGACUCCGAACAACCUUCGGUAUAUCAAACUCAUAAACUCAUAAUAUAACCGUCAUCGAAACCUUAAGCGUGCGGACCCUACGGGUUUGAGAACUAUGUAGACAUGACCGAGACACUUCUCCAGUCAAUAACCAAUAGUGGAACCUGGAUGUUCAUACUGGCUCCCACAUAUUCUACGAAGAUCUUUAUCGGUCAAACCGCAUAACAACAUGCGUUGUUCCCUUGUCAUCGGUAUGUUACUUGCCCGAGAUUCGAUCGUCGGUAUCUCAAUACCUAGUUCAAUCUCGUUACCGGCAAGUCUCUUUACUCGUUCCGUAAUACAUCAUCCCGCAACUAACUCAUUAGCUACAAUGCUUGCAAGGCUUAUAGUGAUGUGCAUUACCGAGAGGGCCCAGAGAUACCUCUCCGACAAUCGGAGUGACAAAUCCUAAUCUCGAAAUACGCCAACCCAACAAGUACCUUUGGAGACACCUGUAGAGCACCUUUAUAAUCACCCAUUUACGUUGUGACGUUUGGUAGCACACAAAGUGUUCCUCCGGUAAACGGGAGUUGCAUAAUCUCAUAGUCAUAGGAACAUGUAUAAGUCAUGAAUAAAGCAAUAGCAGAAUACUAAACGAUCGUGUGCUAAGCUAUCGGAAUGGGUCAAGUCAAUCACAUCAUUCUACUAAUGAUAUGAUCCCGUUAAUCAAAUGACAACUCAUGUCUAUGGCUAGGAAACAUAACCAUCUUUGAUCAAUGAGCUAGUCAAGUAGAGGCAUACUAGUGACAUACUGUUUGUCUAUGUAUUCACACAAGUAUUACGUUUCCAGUUAAUACAAUUCUAGCAUGAAUAAUAAACAUUUAUCAUGAUAUAAGGAAAUAAAUAAUAACUUUAUUAUUGCCUCUAGGGCAUAUUUCCUUCAGUCUCCCACUUGCACUAGAGUCAAUAAUCUGGAUUACACUGUAAUGAUUCUAACACCCAUGGAGCCUUGGUGCUGAUCAUGUUUUGCUCGUGGAAGAGGCUUAGUCAACGGGUCUGCAACAUUCAGAUCCGUAUGCAUCUUGCAAAUUUCUAUGUCUCCCACCUGGACUUGGUCCCUGAUGGAGUUGAAGCGUCUCUUUAUGUGUUUGGUCCUUUUGUGAAAUCUGGAUUCCUUCGCCAAGGCAAUUGCACCAGUAUUGUCACAAAAGAUUUUCAUUGGACCCGAUGCACUAGGUAUGACACCUAGAUCGGAUAUGAACUCCUUCAUCCAGACUCCUUCAUUUGCUGCUUCCGAAGCAGCUAUGUACUCCGCUUCACAUGUAGAUCCCGCCACGACGCUUUGUUUAGAACUCGUCCAACUGACAGCUCCACCGUUCAAUAUAAACACGUAUCCGGUCUGCGAUUUAGAAUCGUCCGGAUCAGUGUCAAAGCUUGCAUCGACGUAACCGCUUACGACGAGUUCUUUGUCACCUCCAUAAAUGAGAAACAUAUCCUUAGUCCUUUUCAGGUAUUUUAGGAUGUUCCUGACCGCUGUCCAGUGAUCCACUCCUGGAUUACUUUGGUACCUCCCUGCUAAACUAAUAGCAAGGCACACAUCAGGUCUGGUACACAGCAUUGCAUACAUGAUAGAGCCUAUGGCUGAAGCAUAGGGAACAUAUUUCAUCUUCUCUCUAUCUUCUGCAGUGGUCGGGCAUUGAGUCUUACUCAACUUCACACUCUGCAACACAGGCAAGAACCCUUUCUUCGCCUGAUCCAUUUUGAACUUCUUCAAAACUUUGUCCAGGUAUGUGCUUUGUGAAAGUCCAAUCAAGCGUUUUGAUCUAUCUCUAUAGAUCUUAAUGCCCAAUAUAUAAGCAGCUUCACCGAGGUCUUUCAUUGAAAAACUCUUAUUCAAAUAUCCCUUUAUGCUAUCCAGAAAUUCUAUAUUAUUUCCGAUCAACAAUAUGUCAUCCACAUAUAAUAUCAGAAAUGCUACAGAGCUCCCACUCACUUUCUUGUAAAUACAGGCUUCUUUAAAAGUCUGUACAAACCCAUAUGCUUUGAUCACACUAUCAAAACAUUUAUUCCAACUCCGAGAGGCUUGCACCAGUCCAUAAAUGGAUCGCUGGAGCUUGCACACUUUGUUAGCUCCCUUUGGAUCGAUAAAACCUUCCGGUUGCAUCAUAUACAACUCCUCUUCCAGAAACCCAUUCAGGAAUGCAGUUUUUACAUCCAUUUGCCAAAUUUCAUAAUCAUAAAAUGCGGCAAUUGCUAACAUGAUUCGGACAGACUUAAGCAUCGCUACGGGUGAGAAAGUCUCAUCGUAGUCAAUCCCUUGAACUUGUCGAAACCCUUUCGCAACAAGUCGAGCUUUGUAGACAGUAACAUUACCGUCAGCGUCAGUCUUCUUCUUAAAGAUCCAUUUAUUCUCAAUUGCUUGCCGAUCACCGGGAAAGUCAACCAAAGUUCACACUUUGUUCUCAUACAAGGAUCCCAUCUCUGAUUUCAUGGCCUCAAGCCAUUUUGCGGAAUCUGGGCUCACCAUCGCUUCUUCAUAGUUCGUAGGUUCGUCAUGAUCUAGUAACAUAACUUCCAAAACUGGAUUACCGUACCACUCUGGUGCGGAUCUCACUCUGGUUGAUCUACGAGGUUCAGUAGUUACUUGAUCUGAAGUUUCAUGAUCAUCAUCAUUAACUUCCUCACUAAUUGGUGUAGGAGUCACAGGAACAGAUUUCUGUGAUGAACUACCUUCCAACAAUGGAGGAGAUACAGUUAUCUCAUCAAGUUCUACUUUCCUCCCACUCACUUCUUUCGAGAGAAACUCUUCUCUAGAAAGGAUCCAAACUUAGCAACAAAAGUCUUGCCUUCGGAUCUGUGAUAGAAGGUGUACCCAACAGUCUCUUUUGGCCUAUGAAGACACAUUUCUCUGAUUUGGGUUCGAGCUUAUCAGGUUGAAGCUUUUUCACAUAAGCAUCGCAUCCCCAAACUUUAAGGAACGACAACUUUGGUUUCUUGCCAAACCACAGUUCAUAAGGCGUCGUCUCAAUGGAUUUAGAUGGUGCCCUAUUUAACGUGAAUGCAACAGUCUCUAGAGCAUAGCCCCAAAACGAUAGCGGUAGAUCAGUAAGAGACAUCAUAGAUCGCACCAUAUCUAGUAAAGUACGAUUACGACGUUCGGACACACCAUUACGCUGUGGUGUUCCGGGUGGCGUGAGUUGCGAAACUAUUCCGCAUUGUUUCAAAUGAAUACCAAACUCGUAACUCAAAUAUUCUCCUCCACGAUCAGAUCGUAGAAACUUUAUUAUCUUGUUACGGUGAUUUUCCACUUCACUCUGAAAUUCCUUGAACUUUUCAAACGUUUUAGACUUAUGCUUCAUUAAGUAGAUAUACCCAUAUCUGCUUAAAUCAUCUGUGAAGGUGAGAAAAUAACGAUACCCGCCGCGAGCCUCAACAUUCAUUGGACCACAUACAUCAGUAUGUAUGAUUUCCAACAAAUCAGUUGCUCGCUCCAUAGUUCCGGAGAACGGCGUUUAGUCAUCUUGCCCAUGAGGCACGGUUCGCAAGUACCAAGUGAUUCAUAAUCAAGAGGUUCCAAAAGUCCAUCAGUAUGGAGUUUCUUCAUGCGCUUUACACCGAUAUGACCUGAACGGCAGUGCCACAAAUAAGUGGCAUUAUCUUUAUCAACUCUGCAUCUUUUGGAUUCAAUAUUAUGAAUAUGUGUAUUACUACUAUCGAGAUUCAACAAAAAUAGACCAUUCUUCAAGGGUGCAUGACCAUAAAAGAUAUUAUUCAUAUAAAUAGAACAACCAUUAUUCUCUGAUUUAAAUGAAUAACUGUCUCGCAUCAAACAAGAUCCAUAUAUAAUGUUCAUGCUCAACGCUGUCACCAAAUAACAUUUAUUUAGGUCUAAAACUAAUCCCGAAGGUAGAUGUAGAUGUAGCGUGCCGACUGCGAUCACAUCGACUUUGGAACCGUUUCCCACGCGCAUCGUCACCUUGUCCUUAGCCAAUCUUCGCUCAAUCCGUAGCCCCUGUUUCGAGUUGCAAAUAUUAGCAACAGAACCAGUAUCAAAUACCCAGGUGCUACUGCGAGUACUAGUAAGGUACACAUGAAUAACAUGUAUAUCAUAUAUACCUUUGUUCACCUUGCCAUCCUUCUUAUCCGCCAAAUACUUGGGGCAGUUCCGCUUCCAGUGGCUAGUUUGUUUGCAGUAGAAGCACUCAGUCUCAGGCUUAGGUCCAGACUUGGGUUUCUUCUCCUGAGCAGCAACUUGUUGUUCUUCUUGAAGUUCCCCUUCUUCAUCCCUUUGCCCUUUUUCUUGAAACUGGUGGUUUUGUUAACCAUCAACACUUGAUGCUCCUUUUUGAUUUCUACCUCCGCAGCCUUUAGCAUCGCGAAGAGCUCGGGAAUAGUCUUUUCCAUCCCUUGCAUAUUAUAGUUCAUCACGAAGCUCUUGUAGCUUGGUGGCAGUGAUUGAAGAAUUCUGUCAAUGACGCUAUCAUCCGGAAGAUUAACUCCCAGCUGAAUCAUGUGAUUAUGAUACCCAGACAUCUUGAGUAUAUGCUCACUGACAGAACUAUUCUCCUCCAUCUUGCAGCUAUAGAACUUAUUGGAGACUUCAUAUCUCUCAAUCCGGGCAUUUGCUUGAAAUAUUACCUUCAACUCCUGAAACAUCUCAUAUGCUCCAUGACGUUCAAAACGUCGUUGAAGACCCGGUUCUAAGCCGUAAAGCAUGGCACACUGAACUAUCGAGUAGUCAUCAGCUUUGCUUUGCCAGACGUUCAUAACAUCAGGUGCUGCUCCUGCAGCAGGCCUGGUGCCCAGCGGUGCUUCCAGGACGUAAUUCUUCUGUGCAGCAAUGAGGAUAAUCCUCAAGUUACGGACCCAGUCCGUGUAAUUGCUACCAUCAUCUUUCAACUUUGCUUUCUCAAGGAACGCAUUAAAAUUUAAUGGAACAACAGCACGGGCCAUCUAUCUACAACAACAUAGACAAGCAAGAUACUAUCAGGUACUAAGUUCAUGAUAAAUUUAAGUUCAAUUUAAUCAUAUUACUUAAGAACUCCCACUUAGAUAGACAUCUCUCUAAUCCUCUAAGUGAUCACGUGAUCCAAACCAACUAAACCGUGUCCGUUCAUCACGUGAGACGGAGUAGUUUCAAUGGUGAACAUCACUAUGUUGAUCAUAUCUACUAUAUGAUUCACGCUCGACCUUUCGGUCUCCGUGUUCCGAGGCCAUAUCUGUUAUAUGCUAGGCUCGUCAAGUUUAACCUGAGUAUUCCGCGUGCGCAACUGUUUUGCACCCGUUGUAUUUGAACGUAGAGCCUAUCACACCCGAUCAUCACGUGGUGUCUCAGCACGAAGAACUUUUGCAACGGUGCAUACUCAGGGAGAACACCUUUUACUUGAUAAUUUAGUGAGAGAUCAUCUUAUAAUGCUACCGUCGUUCUAAGCAGAAUAAGAUGCAUAAAAGAUAAACAUCACAUGCAAUCAAUAUAAGUGAUAUGAUAUGGCCAUCAUCAUCUUGUGCUUGUGAUAUCCAUCCCCGAAGCACCUUCACGAUCACCAUCGUCACCGGCGCGACACCUUGAUCUCCAUUGUAGCAUCGUUGCACCGUCAUGAUCACCAUCGUCAUCGGCGCGACACCUUGAUCUCCAUCGUAGCAUCGUUGUUGUUUCGCCAAACUUAUGCUUUCACGACUAUCGCUACCGCUUAGUGAUAAAGUAAAGCAUUACAUCGCGAUUUCAUUGCAUACAAUAAAGCGACAACCAUAUGGCUCCUGCCAGUUGCCGAUAACUCGGUUACAAAACAUGAUCAUCUCAUACAACAAAUUAUAUCACAUCAUGCCUUGACCAUAUCACAUCACAACAUGCCCUGCAAAAACAAGUUAGACGUCCUCUACUUUGUUGUUGCAAGUUUUACGUGGCUGCUACGGGCUUCGCAAGAACCGUUCUUACCUACGCAUCAAAACCACAAUGAUAGUUUGUCAAGUUGGUGCUGUUUUAACCUUCGCAAGGACCGGGCGUAGCCACACUCGAUUCAACUAAAGUGAGAGAGACAGACACCCGCCAGUCACCUUUAAGCAACGAGUGCUCGCAGCGGUGAAACCGGUCUCGCGUAAGCGUACGCGUAAUGUUGGUCCGGGCCGCUUCAUCUCACAAUACCGCCAAACCAAAGUAUGACAUGCUGGUAAGCAGUAUGACUUAUAUCGCCCACAACUCACUUGUGUUCUACUCGUGCAUAACAUCAACGCAUAAAACCGUGCUCUUACCACUGUUGGGUUUCGUAGUAAUUUCAAAAAAUUUCCUACGCUCACACAGGAUCAUGGUGAUGUACAGCAACGAGAGGGAGAGUGUGUCCACGUACCCUCGUAGACCGAAAGCGAAAGCGUUAUGACAACGCGGUCGAUGUAGUCGUACUUGACGAUCCGACUGAUCAACAGUUGAUGUAGUUGUACGUCUUCACGAUCCGACCGAUCAAGCACCGAACGUACGGCACCUCCGAGUUCAGCACACGUUCAGCUCGAUGACGUCCCUCGAACUCCGAUCCAGCCGAGUGUUGAGGGAGAGUUUCGUCAGCACAACGGCGUGGUGACGAUGUUGACGUUCUACCGACGCAGGGCUUCGCCUAAGCACCGCUACAGUAUUAUCGAGGUGUAAUUUGGUGUAGGGGGGCGCCGCACACGGCUAAGAGAUCAAAUCAAUCGUAUGUGUGGCGCCCCCUGCCUCUGUAUAUAAAGGAGCCAAGGGGGAGGUGGCCGGCCCAAGGGGGAGGAGCCAGGAGGAGUUCUACUCCCACCGGGAGUAGGACUCCCCCCUCUCCUAGUUGGAUUAGGAUUGGAGGGGGGGAAAGAGAGAAGGAAGGGGCCGACCCCCUUUGCCCCUAAACCAAUUCAGUUUGGGCUAGGGGGGGCGCACCCUUGCUUCCCUCUCUUCCCACUAAGGCCCACUAAGGCCCAACAGCCUCCCGGGGGUUCCGGUAACCUCCCGGUACUCCGGUAAAAUCCCGAUUUCACCUGGAACACUUCUGAUAUCCAAACAUAGGCUUCCAAUAUACCAAUCUUUAUGUCUCGACCAUUUAGAGACUCCUCAUCAUGUCCGUAAUCACAUCCGGGACUCCGAACAACCUUCGUUACAUCAAACUCAUAAACUCAUAAUAUAACCGUCAUCGAAACCUUAAGCGUGCGGACCCUACAGGUUCGAGAACUAUGUAGACAUGACCGAGACACUUCUCCAGUCAAUAACCAAUAGUGGAACCUGGAUGUUCAUAUUGGCUCCCACAUAUUCUACGAAGAUCUUUAUCGGUCAAACCGCAUAACAACAUACGUUGUUCCCUUUGUCAUCGGUAUGUUACUUGCCCGAGAUUCGAUCAUCGGUAUCUCAAUACCUAGUUCAAUCUCGUUACCGGCAAGUCUCUUUACUCGUUCCGUAAUACAUCAUCCCGCAACUAACUCAUUAGCUGCAAUGCUUGCAAGGCUUAUAGUGAUGUGCAUUACCGAGAGGGCCCAGAGAUACCUCUCCGACAAUCGGAGUGACAAAUCCUAAUCUCGAAAUACGCCAACCCAACAAGUACCUUUGGAGACACCUGUAGAGCACCUUUAUAAUCACCCAUUUACGUUGUGACAUUUGGUAGCACACAAAGUGUUCCUCCGGUAAACGGGAGUUGCAUAAUCUCAUAGUCAUAGGAACAUGUAUAAGUCAUGAAGAAAGCAAUAGCAGAAUACUAAACGAUCGUGUGCUAAGCUAUCGGAAUGGGUCAAGUCAAUCACAUCAUUCUACUAAUGAUAUGAUCCCGUUAAUCAAAUGACAACUCAUGUCUAUGGCUAGGAAACAUAACCAUCUUUGAUCAACGAGCUAGUCAAGUAGAGGCAUACUAGUGACAUACUAUUUGUCUAUGUAUUCACACAAGUAUUACGUUUCCAGUUAAUACAAUUCUAGCAUGAAUAAUAAACAUUUAUCAUGAUAUAAGGAAAUAAAUAAUAACUUUAUUAUUGCCUCUAGGGCAUAUUUCCUUCAUACUCUACCCUCAAAAACUGUUGCAAUCCCCUAUACUUGUGGGUUAUCAGCUCCUAACAUUGAUCCAUCCAACCUUAUUGAUGAUGAAGCUGUGUUUAGAGCAUUGACCGGUAUCAACCGGGCUAUGCCUGACUUCCAGCUGAUGGAUAAUCAAGGAGUUGAAGAGGAAGUAGAGGCGCAGGAUGAUCCGGAGGCUUCAACCCGCCCAGAGUCAUGAGCCAUUUUAUUAAUCAUAGCACUUUGAUGUUUACGUCUCCAAAACACUUAUCCUCUUUGGGCCAUCGGAUGCCUUGUAAUAGGCUAGUUUAAACUCUGAUCUGUCGUGCCAUCGUGCACGAUUUGUUUGCAUAACACUGCUGAUCCGUCAGUUGAAGGUCUGCCACUUAUGCUCAUGAUAUCAUCAAGUAUGCACAUCAGAUUUAUCAGUUUUCCUACACACAAACAGAUCACAAGUGCCCUGGCAGUUUACCCCAGGGCGGGUCACAAUACCCCAUAUAAAAACCAUUAGUGACGAUAAGUCCAUAACCAGGGCCGGUUUAAUUACAACCUUAUAUAAUCAUAACAAAAUAUCAUACCUAUGAUAUUUGCUCACACUGCCGGCUUAUCAUACCUGUGCAGUAAGAGUUACAACCCAAAAAUUGAGAGCACAACGCCCUGUUCAAUUGAUUCAUACCGCCGGUCAUAACGCCAUAUGCAGCGAGGGGUAACAUCCCAAAGUUUAGAGCCAGUACUCUAGGCACAAGAUCAUCACAUGCUGGCGACUUAAAGUCCAAAGCCAGACCGGGUUAAUAAACACCGAAUAGAUUUAUAUAUGAACCAUAAGGCAACAUAGCCCUCAUCGGUUUUCAACCAUGUAUUAACAUGUCACAAGAGAUAAAUAUCAAAAAAUGUUCAAAUUGAAUAUAAAUAAAAAAUAAGGCUUUCAUAGGCCGCCAGGCCUCAAAGUCAAAUGUUGUUCAAGGGCUGCAAAGCCGCUGAGUUAAACCUUUAUUCAAACCUUGUAAGCUGGACCUCACAUGACCAAUCGCUGUUUUAACUUUGACAAGUUCAGGGUCUUUAUAAGAUUGACUGUCAAGAGUACGGCGAGUCAUUACAGGAUUACCUGGGCAGAGUGGCCAACUUACAAAGGCAGGAUAACCCGGAUUGUUUGGUGAAUACACCUAGUGUCCAAGCCUAUUACAAGGGUCAUCAAAGCUCUUGUCCAUUAACAAAGAUCCCCCAAGUAAUGUUUUAUUCCAGGCAUAUAAGCCGGAUCAAUAGGAUAGUCAUAACUAUGCUCCAUGAGCAGGAAGCCCCCAAGUAUGUCUUAAUCAUGGCAUACAAGCUGGAUCAAGAGGGUAGUCAUAGCUAUGCUCAAUGAGCAGGAAGCCCCCAAGUGAUCAUAUGAAGUGACAAUAAAGACUCAUUAUUCUCAGAAAUGAAACGAUAGAGGCCCUGAAUUAUCGGGGAUGCUGGCUUUAUUAUAUUCAUCAUAAUAUAUACAUCAUCAAAAUAUGUACAUCACAAGAGCCAGUGGCUCAGGUGUAAUAAGGCCGAAGAUGAGCAAUAUUCCACGGACGGCGGGUCUCCUCCUCCGACGUGCGUGAGUCCUUGUGGUCUCGAACAUUGAUAAGGUAGUAUGACCCGUUGUUCAGAUUUUUGCUGACCACAAUGGGUCCUUCCCAAGGUGGGGAUAGCUUGUGCAUGUCAGUUUGAUCCUGGAUAAGCCGGAGCACCAAAUCACCUUCUUAAAAGGUCCUAGUUUUAACCCGGCGGCUAUGAUAACGGCGCAAAUCUUGCUGGUAAAUCGCCGAACAAGCCGCCGCUAGGUCACGCUCCUCGUCCAAUGAUACGUCUCCAACGUAUCUAUAAUUUAUGAAGUAUUCAUGCUAUUAUAUUAUCCAUCUUGGAUGUUUUAUGGGCUUUACUAUGCACUUUUAUAUUACUUUUGGGACUAACCUAUUGACCCACAGCCCAGUGCCAGUUCCUGUUUUUUCCCUUGUUUCAGUGUUUCGAAGAAAAGGAAUAUCAAACGGAGUCGAAACGGAAUGAAACCUUCUGGAGAAGUUAUUUUUGGAAAGAAAGCAACCCGGGAGACUUGGAGUCCACGUCAAGAAAGCAACGAGGAAGGCACGAUGUAGGGGAGCGCGCCCACCCCCUGGGCGCGCCCUCCACCCUCGUGGGCCCCUCAUGGCUCCCCUGACGUACUUCUUCCGCCUAUAUAUAUCCAUAUACCCUCAAAACUUCGGGGAACAGAAUAGAUCUGGAGUUCCGCCGCCGCAAGCCUCUGUAGCCACCAAAAACCAAUCGGGACCCUGUUCCGGCACCCUGCCGGAGGAGGGAUGCCUCACCGGUGGCCAUCUUCAUCAUCCCGGCGAUCUCCAUGACGAGGAGGGAGUAGUUCACCCUCGGGGCUGAGGGUAUGUACCAGUAGCUAUGUGUUUGAUCUCUCUCUCGUGUUCUUGAGGUGAUUCGAUCUUGAUGUAUCGCGAGCUUUGCUAUUAUAGUUGGAUCUUAUGUUGCUUUUCCCCCUCUAGUCUCUUGUAAUGGAUUGAGUUUUCCCUUUGAAGUUAUCUUAUCGGAUUGAGUCUUUAAAGAUUUGAGAACACUUGAUGUAUGUCUUGCCGUGCGUAUCUGUGGUGACAAUGGGAUAUCACGUGAUUCACUUGAUGUAUGUUUUGGUGAUCAACUUGUGGGUUACGCCCAUGAACCUAUGCAUAGGGUUUGGCACACGUUUUCAUCUUGAUUCUCCGGUAGAAACUUUGGGGCACUCAUUAAGGUUCUAUGUGUUGGUUGAAUAGAUGAAUCUUAGAUUGUGUGAUGCAUAUCGUAUAAUCAUACCCACGGAUACUUGAGGUGACAUUGGAGUAUCUAGGUGACAUUAGGGUUUUGGUUGAUUUGUAUCUUAAGGUGUUAUUCUAGUACGAACUCUAGGGCUGUUUGUGACACUUAUAGGAAUAGCCCAAUGGAUUGAUUGGAAAGAAUAACUUUGAGGUGGUUUCGUACCCUACCAUAAUCUCUUCGUUUGUUCUCCGCUAUUAGUGACUUUGGAGUGACUCUUUGUUGCAUGUUGAGGGAUAGUUAUAUGAUCCAACUAUGUUAUUAUUGUUGAGAGAACUUGCACUAGUGAAAGUAUGAACCCUAGGCCUUGUUUCCUAGCAUUGCAAUACCGUUUACGCUCACUUUUACCAAUUGUUACCUUGCUAUUUUUAUAUUUUCAGAUUACAAAAACCUAUAUCUACCAUCCAUAUUGCACUUGUAUCACCAUCUCUUCGCCGAACUAGUGCACCUAUACAAUUUACCAUUGUAUUGGGUGUGUUGGGGACACAAGAGACUCUUUGUUAUUUGGUUGCAGGGUUGUUUGAGAGAGACCAUCUUCAUCCUACGCCUCCCACGGAUUGAUAAACCUUAGGUCAUCCACUUGAGGGAAAUUUGCUACUGUCCUACAAAUCUCUGCACUUGGAGGCCCAACAACGUCUACAAGGAGAAGGUUGCGUAGUAGACAUCAAGCUCUUUUCUGGCGCCGUUGCCGGGGAGGCUAGGUACGCGGCACUCACACCCCGUCAACUAAGCUCUUUUCUGGCGCCGUUGCCGGGGAGGCUAGGUAAGCGGCACUCACACCCCGUCAACUAAGCUCUAUUCUGGCACCGUUGCCGGGGAGGUGAGUGCUUGAAGGUAUAUCUUUAGAUCUUGCAAUCGAAUCUUUUUGUUUCUUGUUUUAUCACUAGUUUAGUUUAUAAAAUAAAACUACAAAAAAUGGAAUUGAGUUUGCCUCAUACGCUUCAUCUUUUUAAUGUCUUUCAUGAAAAUGAUGGGAAGGAAAAUUGUGCUCAAGUACUAGAAGAAGAAUUACAUAGAAUGCUGGGCAUAAAAUAUGUGAAUGAUGAGCAUGAUUGCAAUGUUGUUAGUAUGAAUUCUUUGAAUACCCAUGAUGCUAAUGAUAUGCAAAGCCACAAGCUUGGGGAUGCUAUGUUUGAUGAAGAUGAUAUUUUUUGUCCCCCAAGUUUUGAUGAGAAAAUUUACUAUGAUAAAAGCAUGUCUCCUAUCUAUGAUGAUUAUUGCGAUGACACGUAUGCUAUAAAGAAUAAUGAUAACCAUGAAACUUGUCAUCUUGAUCUUAAUUUUCAAUCACAUGAUAGUUAUUUUAUUGAGUUUGCUCCCACUACUAUUCAUGAGAAGAACUUUGCUUAUGUGGAGAGUAGUAAAAUUUCUAUGCAAGUAGAUCAUGAAAAGAAUGCUUUAGGUGCUGGUUAUAUUGUUGAAUUCAUUCAUGAUGCUGCUGAAAAUUAUUAUGAGGGAGGAAUGUAUGCUUGUAGGAAUUGCAAUAAUAUCAAGUUUCCUCUCUAUGUGCUUAAAGUUUUGAAGUUAUGCCUGUUUUGCCUUCCUAUGCUAGUUGAUUAUUGUUCCCAUAAGUUGUUUGCUCACAAAAUCCCUAUGCAUAGGAAGUGGGUUAGACUUAAAUGUGCUAGUCAUAUUCUUCAUGAUGCUCCCUUUAUGUUUCAAUUCUUAUCUUUUAUGUGAGCAUCAUUGAAAUCAUCAUGCCUAGCUAGGGUGUAAGUGCAUCUAGUGCCCCUUAGUGAUUUUGGUGUAUUGAAGACUUAUAGGUUAAGGGACUAAUGCGUUUGUGAGUGUACACAGAUCUAUAAGUCUAUGAGGAAUGAGAUAUUUACAGGAAAUGUCGACCCCUAAAAAUGAAUAUCUUCGACUGAAGAGUUUGGUAUUCCUGAAGACUUUCAUGAAGACUUUGAAAGUGAAGAAAUUGGUGUGACCGUGAAGACUUGAUAUUCAUGUGAGGAUUAUGAAGCUUGAAGACUUUUGUUUUCAUAGUUUUGUUUUUCUUUUUCUUGAGUCAUAGGAAACACCGUACUGUUAAAGGGGGUCGAGGAAAUACUAAGGAAAAUUUCCAAGUGAUGCUCAACUCAAAAUUCUACACCUACCAAUCCCUUCGAGUGAAGCCAUUGGAAAUCUCAUACAGUUCAGUCAUAUUCUUCAGUGACAGAGACGAAGUUCUUCUGGUCUCUGAGGAAUUUGUUCUAACUGAGGAGUUAGGAAUUCGCCAUUGCGGAUUGCCUACACAGUGAGGAACAUGAUAGUCCUGAGGAAUUUGAUAGUCAAAUUUCCGACCAUUGCUGUGCUAUGCGCCAGCUAUCCCAAAAUAUCUUAUCCACCUAACGGUCAUAUCAUUGAUGGGCAUUUAUGUCUUAUCAUGUCAGGCUGCUCCCUAGGCUAUAAAUAGCCGCCCCCUACAACCACUAGCUGGUUGGCUGCUCCGGAAGAAACUGACACUUGUCAAUUGAGAGCAACCCAUCCUCUUGAGAAAUUUGAGAGAAAAUCAUCAAGUGAGGAAAAACCCAAACCCAAACACCUACAAACCCAAAGUGAUGGAGCAUCACUGAAGAGAUUGAUCCUGCGUGGAUCCGACGCUUUUUACCUUUGAAGACUGUGCUUCUUCCAGACGGUUAGGCGUCAUGGUCUGAGCAUCCAAGAGGAAUUGUGGAUCGUCGUGUGACCAAGUUUGUGAAGGUUUGGAAGUCACCUGAAGACUUACCACGAGUGAUUGGGCGAGGUCUGUGUGACCUUAGCUCAAGGGGAAUAAGGUGAGGACUGAGUGUCUUGGACUGUGUGUCCUUGACUGGGUGUCCGGGACUGUGUGUCCUCAGGUUUCAAUACCUAGCCGCCCUAACCAGACAUACAACUGAGACAACAGUUGGAACUGGUCUACCAAAUCAUUGUCUUCACCAAGCCACUGGUUCUAUUUCCUCAACUCUUUCAUUUCCUCAUCUCUGUUCUGUGUAUGUGUCAUAUCUGUGUUUGAAGACUUUGACUGAAGACUUUCUCAAUUUCCUCAGUUCAAUUUCUUCAGUCUGUUUGUCUUCAUCUUGUGUAUCCUGUGUGUACGCAUUCCGUACUCCGUUUACUUUCAUUUCAUCAUGAUGAACAUGCUUAUGCUCUGUUAUGAUUGCUUCUGAGUACUUAUUCCGCUGCAAGUAGUUCUUCAGUUAGGAAUUUCCUCACCCGCAAAUUCCUCAGUGAAGAAUUCAUAAAAAUCGCCUAUUCACCCCCCCUCUAGUCGAUAUAACGCACUUUCAAUUGGUAUCAGAGCAAGGUACUCCCUUGUUCUGUGUGAUUUUGGUUUAACCGCCUGGAGUUUUAGUUAUGUUGACCACAGGUAUGAUCAAGGUCUCUGCUGGGUGUCCUACCUUCGAUGGGUCGGACUAUCCCUACUGGAAGAAUAAGAUGCGAAUGCAUCUUGAGGCAAUUGACAAUGAUCUCUGGUAUGUUGUGGAAAAUGGUGUUCCAUCUGUCUCACCCUCACUGAACGCUGCCGAUGUGAAGAGAUUCAAGCAACUCGAUUCUCAAGCGAAGAAUAUCAUAUGUGGCCAUCUGAGCAAAGGACAGUAUGGAAGAGUGAGUGCUUUGGAAACUGCUAAAAUUAUCUGGGAUAGGCUGUCCAAAGUCAACGAAGGAGUCUCUAUGCAGCGUGACUCUCGAGUUGAUGUUCUUCGCAAUCUCUUCAACCGCUUCAAAAUACUCGACAAUGAAAAUGUUCAACAAACCUUCGAUCGCCUCACUGACAUCUCAAAUGAACUUCAAGCGCUUGGUGCCACUGACAUCACCGACCAUGAGGUGGUGAAGAAAUUGUUGAGAUCGCUUGAUUCCUCAUUUGAUACUCUGGCUUUGAUGAUACAAGAGCGAGCUGAUUACAAGGCACUUGAUCCAGCUGAUAUCCUCGAGAGGCUAAAUACUCAUGAGUUCCAGCUUGCUAAAAAGAGAGAUCUCUAUGGCUCAAGCUAUGGCAGAUCACGUGCACUAAAGGCUAAGGCUGUCUCUGAAUCUGAAGACGAAGACUCUGACAGUAGCAUUGGUGAUCCUGAAGAACUGAGCCAUGAGCUUGCAAUGCUUGUGAGGAAAUUCCAGAAGCUCUCUAGACGUCGCUUUGGAAAAUCUUCAAGGAGCAAUGAUUCCUCAUCCAGUGACUACAAGAAGAGGCUUUGUCACAAAUGCAAGAAACCUAGACACUACAUUCAAGAUUGUCCUCAGUGGGAAAAGGAAUCAAAGAAGAAGAAAUACAAGGAUUACAGUUCUGAUGAUGUGAAGAAAAAGAAGAAAUCCUCAAAAUCUUCAUCAUCAAAAUCUUCAUCUCACAAGAAGAGUAGCUCCAAGAAGGCUCGGGCAUUCAUUGGCAAGGAAAUGGACUCUGAAGCUGAAUCUGAGGAAAAUGAAGAGGAAGAGGUCUCUGAAGAAUCUGAAUCUGGUGUGGCUAGCCUAGCUCUCGCCACUGCUUUCGUCAGCAAGUCUAUCUUCAACUCUGAAGAAAAUGGUUUCACCAACAAGGCUGAUGAAGACAAUGAUGACUAUGCUCCCACCUAUUGCUUCAUGGCAAAGGGUGCCAAGGUACUCAAAUAUCCCUCUUCUGAAUCAAGUGAGGAUGAAUCUGACGAAAACCUUAAGCCCAGCUAUUCUAAACUUGCUAAAAUUGCCGUGAAACAACAAAGGGCUCUUGAAAAGGUUCAAAACAUGCUAGACAAAAGUGAUGAUAUGUUGGGUGAAGAAAUGGAUCGCACUCAAACCUUGACUGAAAAUCUUCAGAGACUUCAGUCCAAGUUUGAUAAUCUUCAUAGUCAUCAUAACACUCUCUUAACUGAUCAUGAGAAGCUUUCGUAUGAAUUUCUUCGAAGAAAGCAAGAUCUUGGGAAGCUAAGAGAGAGUUAUGAAGAUCUUCAGAAGGAGCGCGAUUCAUUACUUGCUCAACAAAUCAGCGCUGCUCAUGAAGAAUCUAUUCCUCCAUGUUUGAAGUGCAUUGAACGAGAAUCUGCUAAUUCUUCACCUGAAUGUUCAAAUGCUUCAACUGUUACAAAUUCUUCAUCUGUCUCUGCUAUCACUAAUUCCUCAUCUGAGGACAUUGCUAGUAUCACUGACGAUGCAGGGCUGAAGGAAUUGUACAUGACAGGCAUGUACAAAAGCCUCAAAGGGCAUCAGACUCUUCGUGAUGUGCUUAAAAAGGAGAUCCUCAACAGGAACCCUAGGAAAGAGGGUAUUGCCUUUGAGAGGAAACUGAAUGCUGAUGGUACAUAUUGGAAGCCUGAGCAGUACCCCAAAACCUCAUGGGUUGCUGCAAAGGGACCUCCAGUUGAUCCAUCUAAUUUAUCUGGCUAUACAUGUGAAUCUCCUCAUUCUUCUGAUGAGUCAUUUGACUCCAACUAUAAACUGUUCAAAAAUCAGAAUGCUGAAGUAUUUGCUAGAUAUGUUGGCACUAACUGCAGGAAUGGUUCCCCUAUGAAGAAAAUCUGGGUUCCCAGAAGGUGCCUUGAAAGUCUUCAGGUGAAUGUCAUCAUGACACCACCUGUGAAGAAAAGGAACCCCAGAUCAAAUUCUUCAUAUGGACCAAAUUCUUCAUAUGGAUCCAAGUCCUCAUAUGAACAUCAUCGUGCUAACAACUCUGUUUCGCAGGGAAGAGCAAAGGGCUAUGAAUAUGAGCAUUAUUCUUCUAACCAUUAUGUUCAUAAGUCCUCGAAGAAUUUCUCUGCUUAUUCAUAUGCUUACCCUAACUCAUCAUAUGUGAAACGAAAUGGACUGGCUUCUAUGCCACCUUUCUCUUAUGGAGCUCGCAGAGUGAUGAACUCUUUGCCACCCCUACAGGUGUGGGUGGUGAAGAAAAAGAACUAAUCUCUUAUGCAGGAUCAGGUCUCCAAACAUGCUAAAACGUCUGAAGAAGUUGCUGGAGACCUGAAACAUGCCUGAUAGGACGCAUGCUAAUCAUGAAGAAAUGAAUCUUCAUUUCUCACAUCCUCAUACUGCUUUAUAUGUUAUGUGCUGAUGAAAUUGAUCUGAUGAAUUGAUGUCAUAUUCUUCACUGAUGAAUUAUAUGAGAUCGUAAGUCGUACUAAUUCAUCUGCAGGAUGAUCACCCCAAAGUACAUGAGUGGGUACUCGAUAGUGGAUGUACAAAUCACAUGACUGGUGACAAGAAUCUACUGAUGGAUGCUCCCCUAUCUCCAUCGCAUCUGAAGCAUAUCACCUAUGCUGAUAAAGGCAAAAGCAAGGUAUUGGGCCUAGGUAAGGUUGCUAUCUCAAAGGAUUGACACAUGGACAAAGUCAUGCUUGUCGAGUCCUUAGGAUUUAAUCUCAUGUCUGUCUCAAUGCUUUGUGAUCUUGAUAUGGUUGUUAUCUUUGGCAAGUAUCAUUGUGUUGUGAUUAUGGAAGCUGACCAUUCCAAAGUCUUCGAAGGCUUUAGGAGAGGAGACUUGUAUAUUGUUGAUUUCUCUACAGGACCACAACCAGCCGUGUGCUUACUUGCAAAAGCUUCAGAAGGUUGGCUAUGGCAUCGACGACUUGGUCAUGCAGGCAUGAGGAACUUGCACACGCUAGCGAAGAAGAAGCAUGUCAUUGGCAUUGAGAAUGUCAAAUUCCUCAAGGAUCGCUUGUGUGGUGCCUGUGAAGCUGGAAAGAUGACCAAGGCCAAGCAUCCCGCGAAGACUAUCAUGACCACAUCUCGUCCAUUUGAAUUGCUUCACAUGGAUCUCUUUGGUCCAAAUCAUUAUUCAGCACUAACUAAUGAAGCAUCUCUAUAUGGCUUUGUCAUUGUUGAUGAUUACUCUCGCUAUACAUGGGUACACAUUGUUACUUACAAACAUGAAGUGCAGGAAGUCUUCAAACGAUUUUCCUCGAGGGCUUCAACCAACUUUGGUGUGAAGAUCAAGCACAUCAGAAGUGACAAUGGAACUGAGUUCAAGAAUUCUGGUCUUGAUGACUAUCUUGAUGAACUUGGUAUUACUCAUGAGCUUUCUGCACCUUAUACUCCUCAGCAGAAUGGCGUCGUGGAGCGCAAGAAUAGGACUCUCGUUGAGAUGGCAUGCACUAUGCUUGAUGAAUAUAAAACGCCUCCUCGUUUUUGGAUUGAGGCAAUUGAUACUGCAUGCCACAUCAUCAACAGAGUAUAUCUUCACAAAUUCUUCAAGAAGACUGCCUAUGAACUCCUCACUGACAAGAAACCCAAUGUGAGUUACUUCAAAGUCUUCGGUGCUAAAUGCUGGAUUAGAGAUCCUCAUCACCACUCUAAAUUUGCACCGAAAGCACAUGAGGAUUUUAUGCUUGGUUACGGACAGGACUCGCACACCUACAAAGUCUUCAACAACGUUCUUCACAAGGUUGUUGAAACUGUAGAUGUGCGGUUCGACGAAACUAAUGGCUCGCAAAGAAAGCACCUACCUUCUGUGAUAGAUGAACCAACACCUGAGGAAUCUAUCAAGUUCAAGGCUACUGAGGAUGUCGUUCCAACCGAAGAAUCUGCUAAAGAAUUCAUUCCAGAACGUGAAGAACGUCAAGCUAAUGCACCUGAAGAAAAUGGUGGUGAAGAAAAUGGUGCUGAGGAAAAUGCUGAUCAAAUUCCUCGACGACAACCAGCUCAUCCUCGCGUUGCAAAAGAAGUGCAAGUUGAAAAGAUCAUCGAUGACAUCAAAGCACCAGGUCCUCUCACACGCUCAAAAGCUUCACAUUUGUCUAACUUUUGUGGGCACUAUGCUUUUGUCUCUAUCACAGAGCCCACUAAGGUAGAUGAAGCAUUUCUGGAGCCUGAAUGGAUUCAGGCCAUGCAAGAAGAAUUACAUCAGUUCGAGCUCAACAACGUAUGGGAACUGGUCAAACGUCCAGAUCCUCGCAAGCAUAAUAUCAUUGGCACAAAGUGGAUAUACCGCAACAAGCAAGAUGAAAAUGGCCUUGUGGUGAGGAAUAAGGCAUGGCUUGUAGCUCAAGGCUACACACAGGUUGAAGGAAUUGAUUUCGAUGAAACUUUUGCACCUGUUGCUAGACUUGAGGCUAUUCGCAUAUUACUUGCUUAUGCUAACCAUCAUGAUAACAUCUUAUAUCAAAUGGAUGUGAAAAGUGCACUCCUGUCGGAGUAUUGGGUCAUGGGUAGCCUAACCCGUGCCCCAAGAUCUUCCAAAAGAUCAGGGCAGGCUGCGGCCCUCGAGACGCCAGGACGAAGCGCCGACCGGCCGACCGGCCGACGGGCCGACUGGCCGAUUGGCCGACUGGCCGACUGGCCGACUGCUGGAAGCCGGCUCGCCACGGGAGCCGGCGCCCCGUUCGGUCCGACUCCCUGCUGGUGACUCCUCAGGAGGCCGGCUCCCACGCAGCCGGCUCACGGCGCCCGACGGACCGGCGCCUCCAUUAAGAUGACAAGACGGGGAGAGGCUGCAGAGCUGCCCAUCCUCCCCCCGAAUCCAAGACCAGGCGUGGCCACAGUGCACCGCGGAGAUCUCCGACGGCGCUGCACUGUUACCACUCCGCCCCUGACGUCAUGGCCCCUGUUCCCACGACGGCCUGUCAGCACGGCCUGCAGGCGGCGGGCCCUGCUGGUCAGCGACAGCCCAGAAGACGGCUGGGGCUGGACCAGUCGGACCCAAGGGGAGUCGGCCUCUGGAGGUCGGCUGGCCUUCCCCUAGGGCUCUGUGCGCCAUUGACCAGAGGAGACGCGGCGUGGCUACAGUGAUCUGCCACCAGCCGGCGGGACUGUAGCCACGCUCCCACGACCAAGCUCACAUCAUCAACAUCCUGACAACAGUAACCAGGAGCCGGCAGGACCCGUGAUUUGCGGGUACGGCCUGUCAGCCCUGUGCCCUACCAGGCGGCGGGCCCGCCAAGCCGGCGGGCCCCAACAGUCGGCAGAGAAGCCGGCGCCCAGAGACACGGACAGACGGGACCCGCGCCCGGACAUAUUACCGUUGUACCCCCGAGGGGUAGGCCUAUAUAAGCCCCCCGGGGCACCCAUGCAAAGGGUUCGAACCCAUCAUGAUUAGCCACACACGUAGAGAAGGGAGGAGAGCUAGCCUUGCCUUCUCCUACCUCUAGCCAACAGCUCCAGGAGCACCUUUGUAGCCACUACGCCUUAGUGAUUAUGCGGAGACCCCACAGAGCAGGACUAGGGGUGUUAUCUCCUAGGAGAGCCCCGAACCUGGGUAAAGUCCGACGGUGUUCUUGCUUGCGCCUUAUCCCACUUCCAGGCACCGGGGACGUUCUACUCGCUCCCACCAUGAUAAGCCACCCGUUAGCAUAUGUCGCACCCAACCCCCAACAUUUGGCGCCCACCAUGGGGCGAGGUGCACCGUCUCCCGGAGACCUGCUCUGGAGGGGAACCUUGUUCCUUCCCAGCGAGCGUAGCCAGCCUGGCACGCCCGACGGCGUUUGCGCUGAUGCGCUGCGCGGCGCGGAGAUCACCUGCGCAGCGAGCUGCCUCACCGAUCUUGUGGGCGAGAUCAGCCUCUCCGACGAGCCAGCGUCCGAUGCUGGCAACGGCGACUCCGAGGAUCGCCUCGUCGGCCUCCUCGACCAACUCCACAUCGCUGACGAGCUUGCCGCCGAUGUGGAGUCGGUUGGCUCCACCGACCCGAUGCUGGUCGACUCAGACACCGCGUCGCUCGACGCGUUCCCCACCAACGUGGUGGUCUACGACAAACCGCUCCCCCACGAGCGCAGCGGCAGAAGCACCAUGACUGAGGUGCUCGUCGUUGGCGAGCACUCUUGUGGCGGCAGCCAGGACCCGCUGCAUGCGGCUCUGCACGACCUGACCGUGCCGAUCCCGGAAGACGCCGACGCCGAGACCCUGGAGGCACGCCGCCUCCAACUCCUCGAAAGCGCCAACCGGCUGGCCGGCAUGAGACGCCUCACGGAGGCUUACCAGCAAGAGAUGGACCGGGCGGUCGGCGGCACGCCGACUCCCGGCGGGCCCAGCCGCGCGGGCCAAGUCCGACAGCAUGGCGCGAUCGUCGCCAGCAUGUUCGGGGUAGAUCGCCCCGUCUACGCCACGGCUGUGGAGAACCUGCGGGCCGCUCAAGCGGCAGCAGACGAGCUGGACCGGCUCGAGGGCGACGAGCGUCGCCACAUGACGGAGCGCGUCCAGCAGCUCCUAGACGCGGUCGCCGUGCAGCAGGAGGCCGGCUGCCGUGAAGACGCACCCCGCCGGCGGAACGACGACCCGCCUCCCCGCCGAGACCAAGGCGCGACCUCCCGGACGCCGACUGGCGGAGUCCAUGGUAGGUGAGACGAGCAGCCGGACCCAUAUCACCAUCGAGCGCGACCCAGACGGUCGCCCAAGAGCCGUCAGACGAUACGGGACGACUGCCCGCCUCCUCCGCCCCACAGGGAGAGGCGCGUCUCCCCGCCGCCUGUCGAUCACCCAUCGCUCGGCGACCGACUCGGCCGCCGAGAGGGGAUUGGAGAAAGCGACGCCCGCCACCGGAUCGACCGCCUCAACCGAUCCCAGGCGUUAGAAGAAGAAGACGAGCUGGGGCCGCCCUGUUUUGGCCCCCGCAUCAGAGACGAGCCCUUCCCCCAAGGGUUCACGCUCCCAGAGACAGCCCCAAGUACACCGGCUCCAUGAAGCCGGAGGACUGGUUGGUCGACUACUCGACGACCGUCAACAUCACCAACGGCAACAAGCAUGUUGCCGUGAAAUAUGUCCCGCUCAUGCUCCAGGGCACGGCCCGGACAUGGCUGAACAGUCUAAGACCCCGCAGCAUCAACAGCUGGGUAGACUUCACCGACGCCUUCGUCCGCAACUUCACCAGCACAUACAAGCGGCCGCCCAAGCCACGCCAGCUAUCCCUGUGCGUCCAAGGCCCCAACGAGUCGACUCGCGACUACCUCACGCGCUGGGCCGAGUUGCGCAACUCCUGCGAGGGCGUGCACGAGGUCCAGGCCAUCGAAUACUUCACCGCCGGGUGCCGAGAGGGCACCCUCCUCAAGCACCGACUCCUCUGCAACGAGCCGACUUCCCUUGACGAGCUGCUGGUUAUAGCAGACAAGUAUGCCACCGCCGAUUCCUCCAUGAAGGCCGAGAUCCGAGUCGACGCGUCCGGCAAGAUGGCACCUCCGGCUCCAUGAACCCCGGCUGGCGACUCCAGUCGGCGCCAGCAGGCCAACGACAACAAGCGCAAGGCCACACAACCCGCUUUCACAAGCCGGCAGGUGGCAGCAGUCGAAGACGAACAGCCGGAGGGGCGGCCCCAGCCAAAGCGUCAGAAGGGCGGCAAGCCAAACUGGCUGCCCGCCUUCUCCUACGAGCAAACCCUCGACGCCCCCUGCAAGUUCCACAGCGGCGCGAAGCCGUCCAACCACACGACCCGAUAGUGUCACUGGCUGACCAGAAUCGCCAAGGGAGACGGCCUCCAGGCCCCUCCACCAGCCGGCCCGCCACCACCGCCGCCUCCUCAGAAGCCGGCGGAUCGGCCAGUCGGCGCGAUACAAGACGAGUACCCUGAGGAGCAGGGAGCCUACGUCGUGUUCACCAGUGUGACCGACGAUCGGCGCAGCAGACAGCAACAACACAGAGAAGUCGGCAGGCGGCCCGGGGACUGCAGCAGUCGCACUCGGCCCGGGGACUGCAGCAGUCAGCCCGGGGACUCCUUCAGCUCAGCAAACAGCAGCCAAGUCCAACCCGCCACCUCCCAGCCCAACCACCCUCGUACAAGUAGCAGUUUUGACUAUUGAAGAGGUCGCAGCACCAUCAUGGGCACAGCCCAUCCUCAGCUUUCUGAUCUCCAAGGAGCUGCCGACCGACAAGACCUUGGCUCGGCAGAUUCAACGCCGAGCAGCAGCAUACACCAUAGUCAACAGAGAGCUCGUGAGGCGCAGCGUCACUGGCGUGUACCAACGCUGCGUCGAGUCGGAGAAAGGCCAGGCAAUCCUCAAGGAUAUUCAUCAGGGCGAGUGUGGCCACCAUGCGGCCUCGAGAGCACUCGUAGCCAAAGCCUUCCGCCACGGUUUCUUCUGGCCGACUGCCCUUGAAGACGCCAAGGAGCUAGUUCAGAAAUGCAAGGGAUGUCAGAUGUUUCAUUCCAAGCCUCACCAGCCGGCCUCUGCGCUCAAGACCAUCCCAAUCGCCUGGCCCUUUGCCGUCUGGGGCUUGGAUAUGGUAGGCCCAUUCAAGACAGCACGCGGGGGGUUGGCCCAUCUGCUAGUCGCAGUGGACAAGUUCACCAAAUGGAUAGAAGCGAAGCCAAUCAAGAAGUUGAAUGGGCCGACUGCCGUGACCUUCAUCUCCGACCUCACAAUUCGGUACGGCAUACCGCACAGCAUCAUCAUCGACAACGGCACAAACUUUGCCAAGGGCGCCUUGGCCCGUUUGUGCGCGACGCAGGGCAUCCGACUGGACUUAGCGUCCGUUGCCCAUCCGCAGUCAAACGGCCAAGUCGAGCGAGCUAACGGCCUCGUCCUGUCCGGCAUCAAGCCCCGACUGGUCGAGCCGCUGGAGCGAUCGGCCUGCUGUUGGCUCGACGAGCUGCCAGCCGUCCUCUGGAGUCUGCGCACAACCCCAAACAAGUCUACUGGUUUCACUCCUUUCUUCCUCAUCUACGGUGCUGAAGCCAUCAUCCCGACGGAUAUCGAGUACGACUCCCCAAGAGUCACCAUGUACACCAAAGAGGAGGCAAGAGAAGCACGAGAAGACGGCGUCGAUCUGCUGGAAGAGGGCCGACUGUUAGCACUCAGCCGGUCCGCCAUCUACCAGCAGAUCCUACACCGCUACUACAACCGGAAGGUCAAGCCAAGAUCCUUCCAAGAGGGCGACCUUGUGCUCCGGCUGAUCCAGAGAACAGCCGGUCAACACAAGCUCACGACACCUUGGGAAGGACCCUUCAUCAUCAGCAGAGUGCUGGGUAACUACUCCUACUACCUCAUCGACGCUCAGAAGCCUCGAGCACGCAAGAGAGACGACUCCGGCAAAGAGACGGAGCGACCUUGGAACGCGAACCUCCUAGGAAGAUUUUACAGCUGAAUGCAGUAUGUACCAUGAAACCUUUUGUAACUAACGUACUAAGACUCCGGGACCCCCGAGGAGAUCUCGGGGACUGCCCCUUUUUCCGUCUGUAUGAUAAGUAUUGCGCCUAUCUUUCGAUAUCGUCUAUGCAUCUGUCCGGCACCGGGUCCGUCUGAUCGGCCCGGGGACUCGCCUCCUUGCGCUAUGCGGGUGCCCCCUGAAGCCGGACAAGUAAUGUGUGGUGCCUAAGCUCGCUCCUACCAAAGCCACAGUUCGCAGAGCGACUGUUUGGUGGGUGGGAGCCCAAAGCAAGAAAGGGUGCCCGCAUGAAAAAUGGCUAAGGACCCAGGGCAUCCGUGUAGCUCAAGCCGGCUUCCUGCCUUGCCGGCCGACUGCUUAGCAAGCCGGCCGGCCGGCCUCUACCCAACCUGCUAAAACUCCAGACGGCUGAGUACUUGCCUCCCCAAGUGGCUAAAUACUUGACCUAGCCACAGCACGCAGAGCGGCUGGUUGGGCUGGCAAGAAGGCACUUGGGAAGGCGGCAAAGGGAAAAAGCCAAAAGGAGCAAACGCAGGGAAGGAUAGAACCCAACAAACUUAUAUACAUCAAAGGCAAUAGGCCAGAGUUCGACAAAUUUAAAAGAUACACCUCAGGGGUUGAAUUGUGCAGACUAAGCAAAAGUUCAUCGAGAUCAUGAGCAGAUAGAGCUAAUACAAGCCGACAAGGCCUAAGGCGCGGCGGACGGGUUCGGCGGGUCGGAGGCGUCAGCAGUGCCGGCGAGGCGAGCAGCCGGCUGGUCGAGUACGGCCUGAUCGACUCCGGUGGCAGCCGGCUCGUCUGAGCGCGGCUUGUUACUGGAGGCACAGUCGAGUUGAGGCUGGCCGUCUGCUCCUGCCGCCGGCACCUCUCCUUCGCCUUCCAUCCCCUCCUCGUCCUCAUCCUCACUGCUGAAGCCGAUCAUUUCCGCAGAGUCCUCGCCGUCUUCUGGGUUCAGCCCGAACCACUCCACCGGCACCACGGCACCGUUCUCAGUCCGCUCCGGGAUGAGAACGCUGGUGUCGGUGUACUCGGCGAUGGCGGCUGCGCGCUUGGCGAGGGCGUCCUGGGCCUCCGCAGUCGCCAGCUCCCCCUGGGCCUCCGCCCGAAGCGUCGCCAGCUGGUCCAGGCUUAGGCCAGGGUACCAUGCCUUGACGAACUCCAAGGCCCGGCGAGCUCCCACCCGGGCCGAGGAGCCCUUCCACCCCUCCAGCCGGCCGGCCGCCACCUCCAGCCAGUCGGCAGUCCGACUGGGCGUGCGUGGGACCGGCAGGUCUGGCCACAGAGCGGCGAUCGCUGUGGCUUCGGCACGUUGAAGACGGCGCAGCAUCUGGAAGCCCGGUUGGAUCCGCGCCCGGAUGCUAAGGAUCUGCUCGUUCAGAGUCCGGGGCAUGUCCGGGGCAAUGACGGCGCCUUCCGCCCUCCGCUUCUGACGGCUGGCUUCGAUGGCCAGGUUGGUGGCAUGGGAGUGGCCGGGAAGAAAUCUGUGCAAACGAGAUAAGAAGUAGGAAGUAAGAAGCAGGCCAGAUCGACAGCCAGCAGCCUGGGCAAGAAUAGGAAAGGAACUUACCGUCGACGACGUCUUCGAUCUCGUGGAAGCCGUAGGUCAGCUCCGACUCCCUGUCGGACCAGGCGGGGCGCUGCACCGCGAACUUGGCGAGGAGUCCGGCCUCUUUGUCCUCCGCCUCCUACUUGGCCUUCUUGGCGAGCGCCGUCUGCUCCGCCAGCUGCGCGGACAGCCGGUCGCGCUCCUCCACCAGCGUGCCGCACUCCGCCUCCUUGGUGCACAACGCGGUGCGAGCCUCCCCCAGCUGCCGUUGCAAGGCGGCGUUGGCCUCUGCAGAAGGAAGGGAAGAGGAAAAAAGCGUCAGUGUCCAAUACAGAAGAAGAACAAGUCGCCAGGGAAAUCCGGCCCGACAGCCCAGCAGUCGGCCCGCAUCUCGGGGACUACAGCCCGUGGACGCGCCAGCGCGCCCCCGCGAAGAAGGAAAAAAAAAAUCAAAAAAUGGACAAGAGCAAGGUAAUAGUCGCCGGGAGAUCCGGCCCGACUGCUCAGCAGUCGGCCCGAAUCUCGGGGACUACAGCCCGCGGGUGCGCCAGCACGCCCCCGCGAAGAAGAAAGGGAAACUUACCCCGGCUUUCCGCCAAGUCGGCAUUCCGCUGCGCCAGCUCCUGCACCUUGGAAUUGAAGGCGUGCGCACGGAGGUUAUGAUACUCCUACAUUGAAGGAAUCGGACUAGUUAGGCACUCGAAGCUGACAAGUUAGAGUUCCGCGCCGCCUGCUCAGCAGCCGGCCCGGAACUCGGGGACUACACCCAGUGGGAGCGCUGGCGCGCCCCCACAAAGAAAGACAAGUCAAAGUCAAGAAAAAAUACCCGGACGGCUGCGCGCGACUCCAGGAAGGCGGUGUUGCAGCGCUUGAGGGCCUCGGCCUCCACCUGGAGCUUGGCCUGGACGUCCAGGAUCGCCGUAUUAAGCGGGCCUGACCCGCCUCCUCGCGCCCAGCCGACUGGCGCGGCGCUGGACGCCUGCGCGUCCGGGAUCGAGGAGCUCGCCGUGCUGACUCCAGGCGGGCGAGGCGUCGAGGCCACCUUCGUUGUACGGCGGUGUGACGACGCUCAGACUUUGGGAGCCGGAGCCGCUACCGCGCGUCCGGCUGUUGGCGCCGGCGGGUCCGCCGGCUGUUUGUCCCGCGACUCCUUCACGGGCAUCGACGGAAGAAUGAUUAUGUCCGGCUGGGGAGCGUCGCUGCUCGCCUCUGUAGCCGGGUGCGGUUCGCCGGCUCCCCCGGUCGGCGCCACAAAGCUGGGUGGUGGCGGUGCGGAACUCAGGGGGACGACGAACAGCGGCGCCUGGCGGCGCGCCGCUUCCUCGGCCAGCGCCUACUCCGUUGCCUUGGCUACAGCCUCGGCCGCAGCCAAUUUCGCCUCAGCGGCCACCGCUGCCUUCUCCUCCGCCUCCUUCACCAUGCGAGCCGCCUCUUGCUCCGCGCGGGCCUCUCGCAUGUUCCGCUCCGUCGCCUCGCGGAGGUCGGCGGCCGGAUCAACUCGCCGGGUGGCCACCCGCACCUCUGCCGACUCCACGAUGGAGGCGGCAUCCACCCUCUCGAGGGUGAGUGGAGCGCUGAAGUAAGGGAAACAAGACAGAGAGAUCAGGAAAGAAUCAGCAAACAAAGAAGGAAUUAUAGCAAGAUCAAAACUUACGCAGAGACGAGCUGAGGCGUCUUCACCGCCUUGCGAAAGCGGGCUGCCCUCGCGGCCGCCUCCUCCCGCUUGGUCGCCACGGCCGCCCCGCCCCUGGGCUUCUUAGGCCGGCUCCUGUACAAGCCCAGCGCGGCCCAGCGUUUCUCGGAGCCGCCUUCGCCAGCUGGCACGGUGGACGAGCCUGGGCGGUGGGAGCCCGACGGGCGGUUCGGAGCCUGCUCCCACACGUCGUCGUCGGGCCAGUCCUCGAGGGUGGCUCCGAGCCCUGAGACGCCCCCCCCGCGUCAUUCUUCGGCGUCGGCCUCCAGGGCCGCUAGCCCCCCGUCGGGGUCGUUGAUGUCGCUCUCCGCCCGGUCGGGGUCGAACUCGCGUUCUGGCCCCCUGGUGCCGGCUGACGGCUGAAGAAGAGAACCCUAAGGCCGGCCGGUCAGAGGCGGAUGUGAUUAAGCCCAGCAGCAAAGGAAAGAAGAGAAAACAACUUACCAUGGGUGGAGGAUUGGCACGCGAGUAAGGCUCCUUGCCAAACUGCCACUAUGAUGUGAGCUCGCAGUUGGCCAUGAGGUUCACCGUGUCGGCCACCUCCCCAGGCGGCAUCUCUUUGGUGCUAAGCCGACUCGGAUCCCGGUGCCCGCUCAUCUGACAGAUCAGAUGAGGCCGGCGCUGGAGCGGGAGCACUCGGCGCGCCACGAAGGCAGUCAGCAGAUCCGGACCAGUCAGGCCUCCCGACUGCGUCAGGACUCGAAGCCGGGCGACGGCGGCGACUCCGGAGGCCGACAGAGUCUUGGCCCGAUAGGACCAGUUGGGUCCCCUCUCGACGGGCCCGGCUGCAUACUCCGGAAAGUUGACUUGGUCGCCGGUCGGAGAGAUGUCCUUCACGUAGAAAUAGGACUGCUGCCACAUCUUCACCGACUUGAUCAGCGAGAUGGCGGGGAAGGGGUUGUCGCCCGACGGCCUCCGCACGGCGACGAACGCGCCGCACUUGGCCGGAACGCCCGCCGAGUGGGUGCUGGCCUUGCUGUAGAAGAACUCUCCUUACAACUCGAGGGUGGGGAGGACGCCGAGGUAGCCUUCGCACAGCGUGACGAAGGCGGACAGCAGCACCAUGGUGUUAGGGGUAAGGUGGUGUGGCUGCAGCUGGUAAAACUCCAAGAAGGAGCGGAAGAAAUGGCUCGCCGGCAGGCCCAGGCUGCGGAGGCAGUGCGAGCGGAAGACGACCCGCUCGCCCUCCUCCGGCGCCGGCGAGAUCUCCCCCGCCCGCGCGAGACGAACCCUCACAAGGUCCUUGGUCGGCAGCCGCCGCGUGUCGCGGAGGAAGUCGAUGUGGUCGUUGUGGAUGACCGAGCCAUCCCAUUCCCCGGAGCGCACCUGAGGAGCGGAUGAAGAGCUCAUCGGGGAAGGCUGCGGCGGCGCUGGGAUUGGUUCGGGUGCGCGGCGGCGAGAGGAAGAAGAAGGGUGCGAAAGCAAGAGCAAAGAAGGGCGGAGGGGCAGAAGGACACGCGCGUGCCUCGUCGCUCCCCCUCCUCCCCCUACUUAUAGCCUGCGGGAUACAAGGCCGAGGGGGCGAUCGUGGGGAUCGUGGGAUUAACUGUGCCCACGACCCCCGCUUUUCUCGCGCGAGUUACUAUGAGCAGUAACUCCGCGAGGGAGCCCAAUCGCCCGCUCGGCCGCAGCGGAUCCGCCCGCGUGCCGAGGCCCGAUAGUGGUGGGCCCGGCCCGCUGUCAUGUCCCAUCACACGCGUGGGCUGGCAGGCUGGCCUGGCGGGGCGACGACAUGUGGCGGACUCGUGCCAGACGGCGGGCUAGGAAGCUUAGCCCGAGCGCCACCUGAUUCCCGCCACGACAUUCGAACUCCCCUGGCCUACCCAGCUGGUCCGGGCCGACUCCUACCUGGCGGCCUGCUAGAAGACGGACGGAGUUUUUAUUUAGAGCACCCGGAGGAAACUGUUGAGGCUCCUUGGCUCUUUCACCACGGCGCCUCACCAGCUUCGGGGACUACUGUCGGAGUAUUGGGUCACGGGUAGCCUAACCCGUGCCCCAAGACCUUCCAAAAGAUCGGGGCAGGCUGCGCCCCUCGAGACGCCAGGACGAAGCGCCGCCUGGCCGACUGGCCGACUGCUGGAAGCCGGCUCGCCACGGGAGCCGGCGCCCCGUUCGGUCCGACUCCCUGCCGGCGACUCCUCAGGAGGCCGGCUCCCACGCAGCCGGCUCACGGCGCCCGGCGGACCGGCGCCUCCAUUAAGAUGACAAGACGGGGAGAGGCUGCAGAGCUGCCCAUCCCCCCCCGAAUCCAAGACCAGGCGUGGCCACAGUGCACCGCGGAGAUCUCCGACGGUGCUGCGCUGUUACCACUCCGCCCCUGACGUCAUGGCCCCUGUUCCCAUGACGGCCUAUCAGCACGGCCCGCAGGCGGCGGGUCCUGCUGGCCAGCGACAACCCAGAAGACGGCUGGGGCUGGACCAGUCGGACCCAAGGGGAGUCGGCCUCCGGAGGUCGGCUGGCCUUCCCCUAGGGCUCCGUGCGCCAUUGACCAGAGGAGACGCGACGUGGCUACAGUGAUCUCCCACUAGCCGGCGGGACUGUAGCCACGCUCCCACGACCAAGCUCACAUCAUCAACAUCAUGACAACAGUAACCAGGAGCCGGCAGGACCCGUGAUUUGCGGGUACGGCCUGUCGGCCCUGUGCCCUACCAGGCGGCGGGCCCCAGUAGUCGGCAGAGAAGCCGGCGCCCAGAGACACGGACAGACGGGACCCACGCCCGGACAGAUUACCGUUGUACCCCCGGGGGGUAGGCCUAUAUAAGCCCCCCGAGGCACCCAUGCAAAGGGUUCGAACCCAUCACGAUUAGCCACACACGUAGAGAAGGGAGGAGAGCUAGCCUUGCCUUCUCCUACCUCUAGCCAACAGCUCCAGGAGCACCUUUGUAGCCACUACGCCUUAGUGAUUAUGCGGAGACCCGGCAGAGCAGGACUAGGGGUGUUAUCUCCUAGGAGAGCCCCGAACCUGGGUAAAGUCUGACGGCAUUCUUGCUUGCGCCUUAUCCCGCUUCCAGGCACCGGCGACGUUCUACUCGCUCCCACCAUGAUAAGCCACCCGUUAGCAUAUGUCGCACCCAACCCCCGACAAUUCCUCAAUGGUAAGCUUGAGGAAGAAGUAUAUGUUGCUCAACCCCCAGGUUUUGAAGAUCCAAAGCAUCCUGACAAAGUCUUCAGACUCAAUAAGGCCCUCUAUGGCCUCAAGCAAGCCCCUCGGGCGUGGUAUGAUACUUUGAAGGAAUUCCUCACGAAGAAUGGCUUCACACCCAGUUCACUCGAUCCUACUCUGUUUACUAAAUCUUAUGAUGGUGAACUGUUUGUGUGCCAAAUAUAUGUUGAUGAUAUUAUCUUUGGCUGUACUGACCAACGUUAUAGUGAUGAGUUUGCCUAUAUGAUGAGUGAAGAAUAUCAAAUGUCUAUGAUGGGAGAGUUGAAAUUCUUCUUAGGUCUUCAAAUUCGUCAACAGCGCAAUGGCAUAUUCAUAUCUUAGGAGAAAUACCUCAAGGAUGUUCUGAAGAAAUUCGACAUGCAAGAUUGCAAAGGCGUCAAAAUUCCUAUGCCCACAAAUGGCCAUCUAUGCACUGAUGAAAAUGGUAUUGACUUCGAUCAUAAGUAUACCGCUCCAUUAUUGGUUCUUUAUUGUACUUGUGUGCAUCUAGGCCAGAUAUAAUGCUUAGUGUUUGCAUGUGUGCCCGAUUUCAAGCUGCACCGAAGGAAUCACACCAUAAGGCUGUGAAGCGUAUUCUUCGAUAUCUAGCUCACACACCAACACUAGGAUUAUGGUACCCCAAGGGCUCAACUUUUGAUCUCAUUGGAUAUUCUGACUCUGACUAUGCUGGUGAUCGUGUGGACCGCAAGUCAACAUCUGGUGCAUGUCAUUUCCUCGGACGAUCCUUGGUCUGUUGGUCCUCGAACAAACAGAACUGCGUAUCAAUGUCUACUGCUGAAGCUGAGUACAUUGCUGCUGGUUCUUGCUGUGCUCAACUGCUGUGGAUGAAGCAAACUCUCAAGGACUAUGGCGUCAACGUGAAGAAUGUGCCACUCUUCUGUGACAAUGAGAGUGCCAUAAAGAUUGCUCACAACCCAGUUCAGCACUCGAAGACAAAGCACAUUCAAAUUCGUCAUCAUUUUCUUCGUGAUCAUGUGUUGAAGGGCGAUAUUUCUAUUGAGCAUGUGAAGACUGAAGAACAACUAGCCGAUAUCUUCACAAAGCCCUUGGAUGAGAAGAGAUUUAGCAAGUUGCGGUGUGUGCUAAAUAUCUUAGAAUCUUCGAAUGUACUUUGAAAAGGACACUCAUCCUAACACUUAUGCAAAAUUGAUGACUUAGAUGUGCAACACAUGAAGAAACGUUUUUCUUCAAUCAAUGAAGAAUAACACUCUAAGUGUGAAGAAAUUAACGAAGAAUUUGAUUCUCAGAGCCCUACGACAAUUGUACGCGAUGUCUGAAAUCAUCAUUCUUAUACGGUGGGUCACGCCAGCACCAAAAGUUGAAAAUCUUCAAUUUGAGUUUUUCCUCAAUUUUGAAAUUCCUCAGUUGUUCAAAUUCUUCAACUUUGCAAAAUCUUCACUUUUUCCAUUGUUUUUCCUCAUUGACUAUAUAUAUAUAUAUGAGUUUAUGUCCUAUACAACAUUCACUUAUUGUUAUUUCUUCAAGUUACUCUUUCUGCUAAGUGAAUGUGAUCGGACCCUUCCCCUAUAUGCUAUACUCAACCCAGUCUAUUCACAAAUUCUUCAUGUGCAUUCUAUUUGAAACAAGUUCAAAGUCUUCACUGUGUUUUUGACAGCUGAAGAAAUUGUGAACGGAACGUUAAAACUUAUCUUAUCCAAAAUUUUCGGAUUUGCCGCUCAAACCGUUCCGCUUCCCACGAUAGACUUAUCUAUUCACCCACGAUCUAACAUGAUCUCCACUUUUCAGUACGUGGGUGACACAUGUCGAGCGAAUGAGAAGGGUCAGGGGCACGUUCGUCCAAAAUCUUCGGGCGAGCUGUUUUUCACCGUGACUAUAAAUACCCCCUUCCCCUUCCUCACCUCUUUUACUCCGCUCGUUCACUCCCCAGCUCCAGCUUCUCAAACCCUAGCACUGCCGCUACUUCAUCGUCGCCGGUGAGGAAGAGCUUCACUGCCUCAACCUCGUCGCCGUCGUACUCGCGCCGGCCGCGGAAAUCUUCACUCCGCCGCCGCCGUAGCCGUCUUCCUUUGCCAAGUUAGGGUGUGGAAGAUCUGAACUGAUGAACUUCUCUUCCCCACUUCACAGUUCGUCGUGUUCUUCGUUCAGGGUAAUUAAAAGUUACUUUUACUGCCCUCUUUGAUUCAAAUGUUUUCUACAAAAUCUUGAAAGGUGUUUUUCUUCAAACUCUCACACACUAAACACCUCACAAGUCAUCUGUUCUUGAUUCAUUUCUCUAAGUUGCAUUUUUCUUCAAGAUUCCUCAAUUGUGUGGAUUUCUGAUCUAUACAACUCUGGAACCUAAGACAAAGAACACUUACUGAAAUUCUUGAAGACUCGUCUGGUCAAAUUCCUCAAACUAGUUCUUUUUGAAAAUCCUUCUGAGAACGCAUAUGACCUCUCCAAAUUCCUCGCAACUAUACUCUGUUCACAGGUACUCAUGUCCGCUGCUGAAUCACUAGGUUCUCAUCAACUUAACUCAUUUGCAGCGUUCCUUGAAGAAAAGUUGCAUACCUCUUCAAAAAGUUCAAUUGUUCAAAUUCCCCAGCUGAAGAAAAUGGCUGACGGGAAGAGGCCGCAGAAAGGAGGAAAAAGGCCCGAAGUUGACACUGCUUUUGAGAUCCCUGAUGACUUAUAUCAGGAUUACUGUAUGCCUGAUGAGGCCAAGUACGGAAAGGAGGACAAGAAUGCGCGCAAGGUGCAUAUACAGAGGAUUGAAAGGAGAUGGGCAAAGGAAUGGAGGGAGUACAGAUAUGUAACUCCAAAGUAUAUGAAGAAAUUCGCACUUAAACCUCCAUGCCCAAGACCUGCAUUGGCACCUGGCCAAAUAGCUGAUCCCACCAGCAUCAAGUGUGGUGAGGACUUUCCUGAUGAAUGGGCCAAGCGCCAGGCCAAGCUGGCUAGGUAGGCCAAAGAAGCAGUGAGGAAAUUCAAUGAAGACUCUGUUGCUGCUGCUGCUGAGGUUUCUGUCAAGCCGAAGAAAUCGAUGGCAAAGAAGCCUGCGCACAAGCCAAGUGCUUCUUCCUCAAUGUCUUCAAGGCCAAGCUCCUCAGCUGUGCCCUCACGGCCAGAUUCUUCAAAGCCCUCACGGCUAGUUCCUCAUGCUGCUCCUGCACCUCCAAAGUCCUCAUCUGCUCCGUCCAAGUCCUCAGCACCUGUGCAUCUUGCCACGUGCCAACGGACCACAGGCAUCUCCAUUGCCUCAGGUGUCUCAUCUAGUUCCUCAGCUGCACCAAGUUCUUCAACUGGACCCUCUCUGCUGAAGACUAAAGUCAUUGCUGGACGAGGUACUCGCCCAAGUCCUCAAAAGAAGCAAGUCGCAUUCCAAGUGCCGUCUGAUGAAGACGAAGCUGAUGAUGAAGAACUUGCUGAAAUCAUCAGAAAUAGACAAGAAAGGGCCGCUAAAGCCAAAGGCACAAAUGUGCCACUGCUUUUGGAUUCAAGACUGAUCUUGGAUUAUAUUGAUGUAUGGCACAAGGACCCAAGCAUUCCAAUGCCCGAUUUCACAUUGACUCCUGGCCAAGAUCACGUACUGACCCAUUUCAUCCAAGAGGAAAAAUGGAAGUAUGAGAAGGCCAGGCGAAUCAAGAAGGCACAGUACAAGAAAGAAAAGUUUCUGAAGAACAACAUUGUUUCUAUGACUGCUGAUGAUCUUGUGAACAUCUAGUCUGAAAUCAAAGGCCUCAGCGAUGAUUUCAAUGCUUACUAUGCUGAUUGGCAAGGAGCCAAAGUCAGGUUUGUAAAACUGACUGAAAAGCUCACCUCCAAUGUUGCAGCUCCAUCGCAACAGGAAAUUCCUCAGGCUGAGGCAUCUGCCCAGCCAACUGAAGAACAUGCCAACACCGCUGAUGACUUUCAGGCUGCUGAAGAAAAUGUAAGUUCCAGGGCUGAUGACUGCAUUCCAGCCGCUGAUGAAAUUGCCAGGGCAUCCACUAGUGGUGCGCCUGAAGAAAAUGAAGAAGUCAGGGAAGCUGCUUCAGCUGCACCUGAAGAAAACGAACCAAAUUCUUCUGCUCCGUCUGCACCUACCCCAACUCCAAUCCUUCCAUCUGCAUCAGAUGUGAAGAAAACAAAGGCUGCAGAGCGUGCUGCGUUGAAGAAAAGGAAAGCAUCAGCUCCUUCAGAUUCUUCAGCUCCGAAGAAAAUGAAGCCAAUGACAAGCUCAUUUGAAAAUCCCAUUGAUGCUGUUCCCAUCUCAACCAGGCCAUCAAAGGAAAUCGUUCCUUUUGAUGAAGAAUAUGUGAUCCCUAGCGGAUCUGAUGAAAAAAAUCCCCCUGCUGCUUCAACUAAGUAGAUGGAUGAAGAAAUUUAAGUGGAAGAAGUCCCUUCAAAUCAAGCUGCUUCCUCGCCAAUGCCUCAGUUCACUGCUGAAGAGGCCGGCGUUGAAGAAUUGGAAGAUGAAGAUGUGGACAUUGGAUGUACCACACCAGUGAUGAAUGAUGACUUUUGGGAAAGUCAGCACCCCAAUUCUCCACUCUUCACUCCCUUACAACAAAUUCCUCAGUCCCCUGCACAGACUGUUCAAAUGGGUUCUGAAGAAAUUCAUGGCACUGCAUCUGUACAUGAAGAAAUUCCAGCCACUAGCGCUGAAGAAACUGCUGCUGCUGUUGAUCAUCUAAAGACACAGACUGCCACUGAAGAGGAACUAGAAAUUCCUCAGCCUGAAGAACCUGAGAUUGCGAUUCCUGAGGUUGUGCUGCAACUCACUGACACUCCUAUGCCCAAGCCAAAGGAUCCAUUCUCAAGGAAGCAAAAAUUCAAGGCUGAUGAUUUCUUCGGCGAGCGGGUGUUCUUCACUGAAUACAACCCAGAUGACUCUGCUCGCAUAAGGAAGAGGCGUUUCUGGACUGCAAGCCAAGCCAAUUUCUAUUCCUCAGUGCUUUACAACAAGGACAAAGUCUUCGAUCAUCAGCAUAUUCCUCAUAUAGAUAUGGAAUCUCUGUCGUGCUUCACACCAGUACUCAGUGUUCUUCACGAUGCUGGACUUUUGAAUUUCAGCACUGACAUAUGUGAUUGGAAUGAAGAACUUAUUCUUCAAUUCUAUGCAACAUUACACAUCACUGGAAAUUCUGAGGAUGUGACUUCUUGGGUGCUGGAUUGGAUGACUAAGAACUCUCACUUCAAGGCACCAGCUAUUGAAUUGCUUCGUGCCUUACCAAUUAGUCCUCCCCUUGAAGCUGCACGUUGUGUCUAUAAUGAGCCUGAGCUGUCUGAUCACUACAUGCAAGUGCUGAUGAAGCCUUUGAAGCCAGGUCAAGCCCCAAGAACAAAGUUUCUGGUGAAGGAAUUGCUGUAUGUGCCUCAGACUGCCUAUCGCAUCCUGUCGAAGACUAUGAGUACAAUCAAGGGCCACGACUCAAAUGAAGAAGAAGUCAUUGGCAUCAUGAAGAAUCUGCUUUUCUAUAUCAUACAUGGCGUUCCCGUCAACUUCCAUGAUUUCUUCAUGAGGACUCUGGCCAAUAUUGCCAUGUCACCUUUUGAGCUGAAGCCUUAUGCACCGUGGAUUAUGAGAUUCAUCAGAACAAGGUCUUCACUCAACUACAAGGCUGAUACACUGAACCAUGGCAGCUACUUGCCCCCGCUUGAAGUCCUCAAACGGACAUUUUCCUCAGCUGAAGACAAGGGCAAGGCCGUUGCAAUAAUCGAUGAAGGCAUUCGUCCAUUGGAUGGGCAAUUUCGCAAGGCUGCAUCCUAUUCUACCAAUGACGACUCUGCCACACAUGACUCUGCCGUAAACACCAACAAGCAAAAUCCUCAUGGCACAGCACCCAGGGUGAUGACUGAUCGUGAGCUACUCCUCAGUCUUCAUCAGAAGGUUGAUCGCAAUCAGAAAUAGGUCAAGUGUCAGUUUGGUGCAAUUCUUCAAAACCUGACUGCUACCCAUAAUACAGUGAACAAAAACCACUACUACCUUCAUGAAACCCUCAACCGCACCUGGGCUGUUCUGUCUCAUGUCUACAGCGAAGAAGAACUGAAGAAAAUGGGUCUCAAGGAGGAAUUUGACUGGUCUGCACCUCCACCGAAGAAAUUCAAGAAGGUCAAAUGUCCUUCCUUGGUGGCCAGCUCCUAUUCUUCAUCGCGCGACACCGACAAGCAUGAAGAUUUGGAUGACACUGCGGCGGGCCCUACUACAACGACAAACGACCCCAACAACGCUGGCGCUCCUUCAUCAACAUGAAAUUCUUCAGGGGCAUUAGUCCUCAGUUUCGAUCCUUUUUGUCAUUUGAUGAUAAAGGGGGAGAAAUUUGAGAGUUAGUCUUCAAACGGGUCGAUCUUAUAUGGGCGUAUGAACGUUUUUUUGAUAAGUUACAACUCUCGUUCUUCUGAAGACUUUUAUUGAUCGAGUUGUAAACUUAAACCCUAUGGUGACUUGAUACUUUGCGAUGUUUUCUUCUGCAUGCUUAUUCCUCAUCAAUAUUAAUGCAUGCAUGCUGAAUUACAUCAGUCACCAUAUUUCAUCAUCAUGCAUUUCAAAUUCUUCAUAUAUUAUGUCAAAUGCGUGUAUGAAUUAAAAGAUAUAGGGGGAGAUCUCCAUGAUUCAACUCUUCAAGUGUGCAUUGCUUCAAAAGCAAAUUCCUCACUAUGCACAUCUUCAGGGGGAGUUCUUCUAUAUCUUGCAAUCAAAUUCCUCAACUUCAGUAUUUACACUUCAUAUGUUUAUCCCUGUUGAAAACUUAACCUAUAUUGUCAUCAAUCACCAAAAAGGGGGAGAUUGUAAGUGCAUCUAGUGCCCCUUAGUGAUUUUGGUGUAUUGAAGACUUAUAGGUUAAGGGACUAAUGCGUUUGUGAGUGUACACAGAUCUAUAAGUCUAUGAGGAAUGAGAUAUUUACAGGAAAUGUCGGCCCCUAAAAAUGAAUAUCUUCGACUGAAGAUUUUGGUAUUCCUGAAGACUUUGAAAGUGAAGAAAUUGGUGUGACCGUGAAGACUUGAUAUUCAUGUGAGGAUUAUGAAGCUUGAAGACUUUUGUUUUCAUAGUUUUCUUUUUCUUUUUCUUGAGUCAUAGGAAACACCGUACUGUUAAAGGGGGUCGAGGAAAUACUAAGGAAAAUUUCCAAGUGAUGCUCAACUCAAAAUUCUACACCUACCAAUCCCUUCGAGUGAAGCCAUUGGAAAUCUCAUAUAGUUCAGUCAUAUUCUUCAGUGACAGAGACGAAGUUCUUCUGGUCUCUGAGGAAUUUGUUCUGACUGAGGAGUUAGGAAUUCGCCAGUGCGGAUUGCCUACACAGUGAGGAACAUGACAGCCCUGAGGAAUUUGAUAGUCAAAUUUCCGACUGUUGCUGUGCUAUGCGCCAGCUAUCCCAACAUAUCUUAUCCACCUAAAGGUCAUAUCAUUGAUGGGCAUUUAUGUCUUAUCAUGUCGGGCUGCUCCCUAGGCUAUAAAUAGCCGCCCCCCUACAACCACUAGCUGGUUGGCUGCUCCGGAAGAAACUGACACUUGUCAAUUGAGAGCAACCCAUCCUCUUGAGAAAUUUGAGAGAAAAUCAUCAAGUGAGGAAAAACCCAAACCCAAACACCUACAAACCCAAAGUGAUUGAGCAUCACUUAAGAGAUUGAUCCUGCGUGGAUCCGACACUUUUUACCUUUGAAGACUGUGCUUCUUCCAGACGGUUAGGCGUCAUGGUCUGAGCAUCCAAGAGGAAUUGUGGAUCGCCGUGUGACCAAGUUUGUGAAGGUUUGGAAGUCACCUAAAAACUUACCACGAGUGAUUGGGCGAGGUCUGUGUGACCUUAGCUCAAGGGGUAUAUGGUGAGGACUGAGUGUCUUGGACUGUGUGUCCUUGACUGGGUGUCCGGGACUGUGUGUCCUCAGGUUUCAAUACCCAGCCGCCCUAACCAGACGUACAACUGAGACAACAGUUGGAACUGGUCUACCAAAUCAUUGUCUUCACCAAGCCACUGGUUCUAUUUACUCAACUCUUUCAUUUCCUCAUCUCUGUUCUGUGUAUGUGUCAUAUCUGUGUUUGAAGACUUUGACUGAAGACUUUCUCAAUUUCCUCAGUUCAAUUUCUUCAGUCUGUUUGUCUUCAUCUUGUGUAUCCUGUGUUUACGCAUUCCGUACUCCGUGUUUUACUUUCAUUUCAUCAUGAUGAACAUGCUUAUGCUCCGUUAUGAUUGCUUCUGAGUACUUAUUCCGCUGCAAGUAGUUCUUUAGUUAGGAAUUUCCUCACCCGCAAAUUCCUCAGUGAAGAAUUCAUAAAAAUCGCCUAUUCACCCCCCCUCUAGUCGAUAUAACGCACUUUCAUAGGGGCGUUAAACGAUAGCGCUUGUUGGGAGGCAACCCAAUUUUAUUUUAGUUUCUUGCUUUUUGGUUCUGUUUAGUAAUAAAUAAUCCAUCUAGCUUCUGUUUAGAUGUGGUUUUAUGUUUUAAUUAGUGUUUGUGCCAAGUAGAACCUUUGGGAAGACUUGGGUGAAGUCUUUAUGAUCAUGCUGUAAAAAACAGAAACUUUAGCACUCACGAGAUUAGCUUCAACUUUUUACUGGAGAGUUCUAUUUAGUUGAUUCUUUUUGCAUAUGAUUACUAGACAAAUUCCUCAGGUCCAAAAAUUUAUUUUAGAAUUUUUGGAGCUCCAGAAGUAUACGUUUGAUACAGAUUACUACAGACUGUUCUGUUUUUGACAGAUUCUGUUUUCUAUGUGUUGUUUGCUUAUUUUGAUGAAUCUAUGAGUAGUAUCGGAGGGUAUAAACCAUAGACAAGUUGGAAUACAGUAGAUAAUACACCAAUAUGAAUUUAGAAUGAGUUCACAACAGUACCUAAGUGGUGAUUUAUUUUCUUAUACUAACGGAGCUUACGAGUUUUCUGUUAAGUUUUGUGUUGUGAAGUUUUCAAGUUUUGGGUAAAGAUUCGAUGGACUAUGGAAUAAGAAGUGGCAAGAGCCUAAGCUUGGGGAUGCCCAAGGCACCCCAAGGUAAUAUUCAAGGAUAACCAAAAGCCUAAGCUUGGGGAUGCCCCGGAAGGCAUCCCCUCUUUCGUCUUCGUUCAUCGGUUACUUUACUUGGAGCUAUAUUUUUAUUCACCACAUGAUAUGUGUUUUGCUUGGAGCGUCAAUUUAUUUUGUUAGUAUUUGCUUGCUGUUAUUUAUAAUAAUGUUUUGCAUCUUUAUUUUCAAUAAAAAUGUCAAGGAUAGCCUUUACCAUGCUUAUUUUGCAAGUAUACAUGUUGCUGUUUCAAAACAGAAAGUUUACCGCUGUUGCAAAAAUUCCCCAGAGAAGUCAGAAUGUGAUAAAAUGAUGAAACCUUUUGCAUAAUAAGAUCUGAUAAAUUUAAUACAGUAGUAAUUUUCUUUCAUAAUUUUUGGAGCUAGGGAAGUAUGGAUCUUGCUGCAUUCUUUACAGACUGUCCUGUUUAGGCAGAUUGCUGUUAUGUUUGCAUUGUUUGCAUAUGUUUGCUUCUUUAAUGAUUCUAUUUGAGGAUAGGACUAUUAAAUACGCAGAGGCAUUUAGUAUGCAAUGUUGAAUAACAAUUUUAGUGAUUUGUUACAGUAGAGUAUGAUAAGGUUUUUGCAUUGGUUUAUACUAACUUAUCUCACGAGUCCUUGUUGAGUUUUGUGUGGAUGAAGCUUUUGAGAUUUAGGGAGACCGUGAUAUGAGAGGAAUUAAGGAGACACAAAAGCUCAAGAUUGGGGAUGCCCAAGGCAUCCCAAGAUAAUAUUUCAAGAAGUCUCAAGCGUCUAAGCUUGGGGAUGCCCCGAUUGGCAUCCCACCUUUCUUCUUCGACGACUAUCGGUUAGUAUCGGUUGAUCCUAAGUUUUUGCUUCUUCACAUGAUGUGUGCUAUCCUUGAAAUGUCAUUUUAUUUUGUUUUGUUUUCUGCUUGAAUAAAAUACAUUAGAUCUGAAAUUCUUAAAUGAGAGAGAGUCUUCACAUAGCUACAUAAUUAUUUAACUACUCAUUGAUCUUCACUUAUAUCUUUUUGGAGUAGUUUGUCAUUUAGUCGUGUGCUUCACUUAUAUCCUAUGAGUAAAUGGUUGAAUGAUUUGAAUGUCAUAAAUCUUAAAUUAUAUAUGUUUCAUAUGCCUUUCCCAUGGGGAGUAAUGCCUUCACAUAUAAGAAGUAGAGGUGGUAAAUUUAUUGAAGGUUAGCAAACAUUGUAUUGGUCACUUGAACAAUUCAUGAAAGAAUAUUGAAGGAAGAGAGAUUUCAAAUAUAAUACUAUCUUGGACAUCUUCUAUGAUUUUGAGCCCCAUUAAUUAUUUUCAACAUGAGCAAAUUAGUUGAAGUAGGACAAGGAAGACAACAUAAUGAGUUAUGCUUGGGUAUAUUUGUAUAAAUUAUAUUGUCUUGGAUCCUCUAACAUGUGGUGCUUGCUAUUUAGAAUCCUUUGCUAGCCAAAAUAUCUGUACUAAGCGGGAAUACUGCUUGUGCAUCCAAAUUCCUUGAACCAAGUUUCUUCCAUGAGUGUCCACCAUAUCUACCUAUAUGCGGUAUUUACCUGCUGUUCCAAGUAAAUUUGCAUGUGCCAAACUCUAAACCUUAAAAUAAUAAUCUGUUUUGUAUGCCCGAAUUGCUCAUGUAGCGACUACGGGUUAGUAGUAUCUUCCAUGCUAGGUGGGUUAUUCUCACGAUGAGCGGACUCCGCUCAUCAUUCACGAGAAAAUGGCUGGUAACUGGGAUGC
Molecule: long non-coding RNA, 63830 nt
Filed under: Triticum aestivum (bread wheat)
Lineage: Eukaryota; Viridiplantae; Streptophyta; Magnoliopsida; Poales; Poaceae
Description: long non-coding RNA (TAES_LNC018347)
Source: RNAcentral